GCCUAGCUCUCCACUAGAGAUUGGGCAAGGAGAUUUCUAUGGGAGAAAUUUCUGAAUGCCUUCUCUAGUGGAGAGCUAGGCCUUAAAUAGGCAGAGAAUUACAUCAUGUGUAAUAGAUUUAAUACAAGUGGACGGCUAAGAUGUUGCCGACAAAAGUAGAUGGCUGCUUUUUGAAAAGCAGAUGCUUUACUUUUUGAACAGUAAUGUCUGUCUGGAAUAUUAUUUGCUUUUGUCCUUGAGGGGGACAGCUGGAUUCCUUUUAGGAAUAGUAACUUGCCUUUUCAAGAGGUAAUUCCGGCCCUUUGGACCUCUAUCUCUUGGAAAGGUCAGAUUCCUAUUCUUAAUAGGGAUCGAGGUAGGCCAUAGCGAUCCCUUUGGGAUCUAGCAUAUCGCCAUUGUCACUGCUACUUCCGGUUGAAGCUGCUUCGGCAAUAAGCUGUAGCAAUUCUUCGGUGUUGGCAGUAGUGUCUGGUCCAUCUAAACUGUCCAGGGCUUGUUUCAAUUUUUCCUUUAAAGCUUUCUUUGAAGCGGAAGAAUGAGGAGAAGCCGUCGUGGCAGUUUUUCCCUUGUCGGAAAUUUUGGGAGUGGUUGGCUUAGGCGUCCAACCCUUGAUUUUGAUUUCCUUGGAUAAGUACUUGAUCCUGUGUUGUUCUUCUCUGGAGAAGUUCCAGGUUAUGAUAUAUGAUAUUCUUUUCUUGACGAAGAAUUUGCACAUUUGAAUGUGCUCCGGUAAGGUAGAACAAGCUUCUUUUGCCAAGAAGUCUGGGAAUCGAUUAAGAAACUGUUGAGGAAGAACAUCUUUAGUUCCUCCAAAGCAGGUCCACCAUUCAUAGAACCACCUAGGUAUAGUGGCUUCGAUCAUGGCGGGGCAGUAUUUUACAAACCACGUAUGUCCUGGGCGAACAUAAAUGAAAUUAAACCAUGCUGCUCUAUAAUCAUGCCAAUUAUAGGUCUGGGGCCGGUGAGGCAUAGAUAGAGCAAUAGGAGUAUGUAAGUGAUCAACAAACCAAUUGAAAGGAGUCAAUAUCCUUUUUAUGGUGAAUUUUGAGUAACUAAUAUAAUCUGGAUUGUUGCUAUCCAGUGAAUGUUCUACUUCAAUCGAAUCUGUAUCGACCAAAAUAGCUUCAUAAUAUCUUCUAGUUUUUAGUGGAUCUUCAGUGUCCACAAAGUUGUUAUUAGUGUAUACAGGCUUGAUUAGCUGAUUGAUAGGAUAUCCUUCGUAAGCCUUGUCGAGGGCAAUAAUAGGCAUUACCGUGGAAAUAACGAACUUGAAUUCCUCUUUCGUAGGAGAGGCAGGAGUUACUUUAGCUGCAGUAGGAGUUACUGCUUGAGCGAAGGUCUCUGGGGCCUUCAUAGCAUAACUUUGCUUAGUCUGGAUAGAGGAAGAGCUUGCUGCCGAUGAUCCUUUGUCCAGGGGCAAAUUCGUCUUUAAAUCAACCAAUUUCGUCGGCAUUGGCGGAGAUAAUUUAGGGAAUUGUACUUCUGUCAGGGCAGAGUAUCUGUUGAGAGUUUCUGUCUUGAUAGCAGGCCUCUGCGGGACUGUAGGUCGUAACGGAUUUGAGGCUGGUGAUGGUGAGUCGAAUGGUCUAGCCAUUCGUUGUUGCUCCGUUUUGGGGCUACUGCCCGAGAGUAUAGGUCUCAUGGCCCUGUAGAAAUUCUCUUGUUAGAAAAUCGGGGAGGGAGUUAGUUUCUCCUUUAAUAAAUUCAAUUUGGAAAUCAAAGCUAGAUAGGAGAGCUUGCCAUCUAGCAAAUAUUUGUUUUGAAACGAGAUUUUUAACAUCCUUUUGUAAAAUCUCUUUAGCUGAUUUGCAAUCGACUCUGAGAAGAAAUUCCUUAUUAAUAAGGUCAUCUUGAAACUUUGUGAUACAUAGCACUAUAGAUAAAACUUCUUUUUUGACAGUGCUGUAAUUCUUUUGGGUGGAAUUCCAGACUCCUGAGGUGAAUCGAACUAAUUGUUCUGAGGAAGUACUGUCUACCCUUUGCUUCAGGAUACCGCCAUAUCCUUUAUCUGAAGCAUCGGUUUCUACAAUCAUAUAGGCAUCAGGAUUGGGGAUACCUAGACAUGGGAGAUUUUUUACUAAAGAUUUAAUCUUGAUGACUGCUUGGGUUUGGCUGGAGCUCCAAGGAACUGGGUUUUUCUUAAGGCGCUGAUAGAGAGGUUCGCAGACCUGCCUAAUAUUGGGGAUAAAAUCAGCAACAUAAUUGAGGCUUCCUAAGAACCUUUGGAGUUGUGUUUUAUCAAUAAUCUCAUCAGGAAAUUUGUUAGAGAAUUCUAUGGCUCUGCAAAUAGGCUUCUGGCUACCCUGAUGUAAAUCAUGUCCUAAGAAGCGAAUAGAUGUUUGAAAAAGUUUCAUCUUCUUAGCACUAAUGACUAAUCCAUUUAUUUUCACAAUCUUAAAGAAAGUAUUAAGAUGUUUAAAAUGAGAAUCGAUAUUCUCAGAAAAGAUUAACACAUCAUCAAUAUAAACAAUUGACAUAUAAGAAAAUUCAUUGAAAAUAUUGUUCAUGAUAUUCUGGAAUUCUGAGGGAGCAUUUUUAAGCCCAAAGGGUAAGACAUUCCAUUCGUAGUGCCCAAAAGGGACAUUGAAGGCAGUCUUAUAUCUAUCUUUUUCAGCAAUCUGAAUUUGCCAGAAUCCUGACUUCAUAUCAAAUUUGCUAUAAAGAUUGGCUUUAUAGGUUCUUUUAAGAAGAUCCCUUUUAUUAGGGAUUGGGUGCCUGAUCCAUUGGAGGACAGCGUUAAGGGGCUUAUAAUUUAUUACAAGCCGAGGAGUCCCUCUUUCCUUUUCGGCGCUAUUAUUUACAUAAAAUGCCGAGCAGCUCCAGGGGGAGUGAGAGGGUCUGAUGAUACCCUUUUCAAGGAGAUGGGUGAUUUCUGUUUUACAGAUUUCCAUUAUUUCGUGAUUCAUUUGGAUCGGUCUGGCUUUGGUAGGGAUAUUUUUUUCAUUGAAGCCAGAGAUGUAGGGAAGUUCUACGAGAUGUUUCUUGCGUUCCCAAAAAGCAUUUGGCAAUUCGGAGCAAAUCUCAUUUUCGAAUUUCGCUUGGAGAGAAGAGAUCUUACUAAUCAUCUCCGGGGUUUUUAAAGUUUGCUCAAUACGUUUGAGCUGAACAUCGUGUUGCAAAAAAUGAAGAUGGGAGGAUAGACGAUUGAUUUUAAAAACAGUUUCGUCUUUGAUUCGUUGCUGCUCGUUAGAAGAGAGUGGACGAAGUAAAGGAAAGAAUAAUUCGGUAUCUAAGAGAGUGGUACGAAUUCCAUCGUAGUUACUCUGAUAGGGCCGGAUUUGGUUGAUGAAGGGGAUUCCUAGAAUGAUAUCUUCAGUGAUAUCUUCAGUAAUAACAAAGUCAUUAACAAGGCAAACGCCAUUAUUGCAGACAUGAGCUUUGCGAAGUUGAUAANNNNNNNNNNNNNNNNNNNNNNNNNNNNNNNNNNNNNNNNNNNNNNNNNNNNNNNNNNNNNNNNNNNNNNNNNNNNNNNNNNNNNNNNNNNNNNNNNNNNNNNNNNNNNNNNNNNNNNNNNNNNNNNNNNNNNNNNNNNNNNNNNNNNNNNNNNNNNNNNNNNNNNNNNNNNNNNNNNNNNNNNNNNNNNNNNNNNNNNNNNNNNNNNNNNNNNNNNNNNNNNNNNNNNNNNNNNNNNNNNNNNNNNNNNNNNNNNNNNNNNNNNNNNNNNNNNNNNNNNNNNNNNNNNNNNNNNNNNNNNNNNNNNNNNNNNNNNNNNNNNNNNNNNNNNNNNNNNNNNNNNNNNNNNNNNNNNNNNNNNNNNNNNNNNNNNNNNNNNNNNNNNNNNNNNNNNNNNNNNNNNNNNNNNNNNNNNNNNNNNNNNNNNNNNNNNNNNNNNNNNNNNNNNNNNNNNNNNNNNNNNNNNNNNNNNNNNNNNNNNNNNNNNNNNNNNNNNNNNNNNNNNNNNNNNNNNNNNNNNNNNNNNNNNNNNNNNNNNNNNNNNNNNNNNNNNNNNNNNNNNNNNNNNNNNNNNNNNNNNNNNNNNNNNNNNNNNNNNNNNNNNNNNNNNNNNNNNNNNNNNNNNNNNNNNNNNNNNNNNNNNNNNNNNNNNNNNNNNNNNNNNNNNNNNNNNNNNNNNNNNNNNNNNNNNNNNNNNNNNNNNNNNNNNNNNNNNNNNNNNNNNNNNNNNNNNNNNNNNNNNNNNNNNNNNNNNNNNNNNNNNNNNNNNNNNNNNNNNNNNNNNNNNNNNNNNNNNNNNNNNNNNNNNNNNNNNNNNNNNNNNNNNNNNNNNNNNNNNNNNNNNNNNNNNNNNNNNNNNNNNNNNNNNNNNNNNNNNNNNNNNNNNNNNNNNNNNNNNNNNNNNNNNNNNNNNNNNNNNNNNNNNNNNNNNNNNNNNNNNNNNNNNNNNNNNNNNNNNNNNNNNNNNNNNNNNNNNNNNNNNNNNNNNNNNNNNNNNNNNNNNNNNNNNNNNNNNNNNNNNNNNNNNNNNNNNNNNNNNNNNNNNNNNNNNNNNNNNNNNNNNNNNNNNNNNNNNNNNNNNNNNNNNNNNNNNNNNNNNNNNNNNNNNNNNNNNNNNNNNNNNNNNNNNNNNNNNNNNNNNNNNNNNNNNNNNNNNNNNNNNNNNNNNNNNNNNNNNNNNNNNNNNNNNNNNNNNNNNNNNNNNNNNNNNNNNNNNNNNNNNNNNNNNNNNNNNNNNNNNNNNNNNNNNNNNNNNNNNNNNNNNNNNNNNNNNNNNNNNNNNNNNNNNNNNNNNNNNNNNNNNNNNNNNNNNNNNNNNNNNNNNNNNNNNNNNNNNNNNNNNNNNNNNNNNNNNNNNNNNNNNNNNNNNNNNNNNNNNNNNNNNNNNNNNNNNNNNNNNNNNNNNNNNNNNNNNNNNNNNNNNNNNNNNNNNNNNNNNNNNNNNNNNNNNNNNNNNNNNNNNNNNNNNNNNNNNNNNNNNNNNNNNNNNNNNNNNNNNNNNNNNNNNNNNNNNNNNNNNNNNNNNNNNNNNNNNNNNNNNNNNNNNNNNNNNNNNNNNNNNNNNNNNNNNNNNNNNNNNNNNNNNNNNNNNNNNNNNNNNNNNNNNNNNNNNNNNNNNNNNNNNNNNNNNNNNNNNNNNNNNNNNNNNNNNNNNNNNNNNNNNNNNNNNNNNNNNNNNNNNNNNNNNNNNNNNNNNNNNNNNNNNNNNNNNNNNNNNNNNNNNNNNNNNNNNNNNNNNNNNNNNNNNNNNNNNNNNNNNNNNNNNNNNNNNNNNNNNNNNNNNNNNNNNNNNNNNNNNNNNNNNNNNNNNNNNNNNNNNNNNNNNNNNNNNNNNNNNNNNNNNNNNNNNNNNNNNNNNNNNNNNNNNNNNNNNNNNNNNNNNNNNNNNNNNNNNNNNNNNNNNNNNNNNNNNNNNNNNNNNNNNNNNNNNNNNNNNNNNNNNNNNNNNNNNNNNNNNNNNNNNNNNNNNNNNNNNNNNNNNNNNNNNNNNNNNNNNNNNNNNNNNNNNNNNNNNNNNNNNNNNNNNNNNNNNNNNNNNNNNNNNNNNNNNNNNNNNNNNNNNNNNNNNNNNNNNNNNNNNNNNNNNNNNNNNNNNNNNNNNNNNNNNNNNNNNNNNNNNNNNNNNNNNNNNNNNNNNNNNNNNNNNNNNNNNNNNNNNNNNNNNNNNNNNNNNNNNNNNNNNNNNNNNNNNNNNNNNNNNNNNNNNNNNNNNNNNNNNNNNNNNNNNNNNNNNNNNNNNNNNNNNNNNNNNNNNNNNNNNNNNNNNNNNNNNNNUUAAUCAUACCGGUGAAACCCGAGACAAUCAUGGUGGCGGCACCUUUGUCAGAGGAACCUUUGAUUUUGUAGGCAGUAAUAGCCACAGCAAUUUCAUGGAGCUUAUUGUAGAUCUGGUGUUCUGCCAGACCAUCAAUAUUCCAUUCAGUUAUUCCUCGUCCAUCAUGACUACAUGUAGAGAGGUAAGGAUUUUCUUCAAACUGGACGUCAGGGGGAGGAGGGUUUCGAUAAUAAUUUUUUCGAGUGGAAAACCGUUCGUUGGACAGUUUGGAAAGGGAGUUUUUGGAAGAGUCUUUCGAGCUAGAAGGCUCCUGAGAUAUUUUGACCUUGGCGAGUUUGGAGUUGAUUUUCUCCAAAAUCUGUUCAGAUAUUUUGAAAUCCUCAUUCAAAUCUGGAAAUUUAUCUUUGUGAAACUCGGGGAGUUUAAAGAUAGGAUUUGAAAGAGGCGUCGAGCUGGGAGUGCUUUUAGCUGGUAAAGGAGCAGAAAGGGGAGAACUCUUGGUUUCUUCGAUCUGCUGGGAAAUGGUGUGCAGAACUUGAUUUGUAUAAUUGUUUUGUUCAAUUAUUCGAUCAAGAUCUCGACAUUGAGGCGUCAUAGUGCCUCGUUCAAAUUUAGUCUUGAACGGAGAAGCUUUUAUGACUUCGUUUGAGUAGGAAAUAUUGAGUCCUUCAAGAGGAGGAGUUGUGGAUUCUACCACCGUAUUUCUUUGGGUGUACCAUUUUGUAACGAUAACAUUGAGGGAUUCAGUUUGGUUUUCUAUUCUUCCAGUUUUUUCAAACCAGAAGAAGAAUUCCAAAUCACAUCGGAGUCUUUUCAUGUCGGCUAUCCAUAGUCGACCAAACUCCUUUUGUUCUUCGAUGGAAUAGGUAUUUCCGUACCAUUUCCUUUUGAGAGCGUCUUGGGGGCGAUUCCAUAAAACCUUUAAGGCCUGAAGAUCCNNNNNNNNNNNNNNNNNNNNNNNNNNNNNNNNNNNNNNNNNNNNNNNNNNNNNNNNNNNNNNNNNNNNNNNNNNNNNNNNNNNNNNNNNNNNNNNNNNNNNNNNNNNNNNNNNNNNNNNNNNNNNNNNNNNNNNNNNNNNNNNNNNNNNNNNNNNNNNNNNNNNNNNNNNNNNNNNNNNNNNNNNNNNNNNNNNNNNNNNNNNNNNNNNNNNNNNNNNNNNNNNNNNNNNNNNNNNNNNNNNNNNNNNNNNNNNNNNNNNNNNNNNNNNNNNNNNNNNNNNNNNNNNNNNNNNNNNNNNNNNNNNNNNNNNNNNNNNNNNNNNNNNNNNNNNNNNNNNNNNNNNNNNNNNNNNNNNNNNNNNNNNNNNNNNNNNNNNNNNNNNNNNNNNNNNNNNNNNNNNNNNNNNNNNNNNNNNNNNNNNNNNNNNNNNNNNNNNNNNNNNNNNNNNNNNNNNNNNNNNNNNNNNNNNNNNNNNNNNNNNNNNNNNNNNNNNNNNNNNNNNNNNNNNNNNNNNNNNNNNNNNNNNNNNNNNNNNNNNNNNNNNNNNNNNNNNNNNNNNNNNNNNNNNNNNNNNNNNNNNNNNNNNNNNNNNNNNNNNNNNNNNNNNNNNNNNNNNNNNNNNNNNNNNNNNNNNNNNNNNNNNNNNNNNNNNNNNNNNNNNNNNNNNNNNNNNNNNNNNNNNNNNNNNNNNNNNNNNNNNNNNNNNNNNNNNNNNNNNNNNNNNNNNNNNNNNNNNNNNNNNNNNNNNNNNNNNNNNNNNNNNNNNNNNNNNNNNNNNNNNNNNNNNNNNNNNNNNNNNNNNNNNNNNNNNNNNNNNNNNNNNNNNNNNNNNNNNNNNNNNNNNNNNNNNNNNNNNNNNNNNNNNNNNNNNNNNNNNNNNNNNNNNNNNNNNNNNNNNNNNNNNNNNNNNNNNNNNNNNNNNNNNNNNNNNNNNNNNNNNNNNNNNNNNNNNNNNNNNNNNNNNNNNNNNNNNNNNNNNNNNNNNNNNNNNNNNNNNNNNNNNNNNNNNNNNNNNNNNNNNNNNNNNNNUUCAAAAGACGAGCAUCUCUUAGGAUAGCACAGACAGGUAUAUCUAAACCUUGACGGAAGAGAGGUUUAAUAGCAACUUGUACUAAACCGACAUGCAGAUAAUUAAACUGAUGUUUAAAUCGGUUUAUAUCUAAUUCAUUAAACAGUUGAAUAAUUUCAAAAGAAUUAUUUAUGGCAACAGUAGACUCAGAAGUCUUAAUAUUAUGUUUUUUCAAAAAACUAAAUUUUCCUAUUUGAUAAAUAGUACUGAAAGAUUCUUCUGGAAUACUCCAGUUUUGAAGAUCAUUUUCUAUAGUAGCAAUCGGAGUUGCUUGAGAAGAAAGGUUAACAGUAUUUUUAAUGUGACUGUUCAUCAUUNNNNNNNNNNNNNNNNNNNNNNNNNNNNNNNNNNNNNNNNNNNNNNNNNNNNNNNNNNNNNNNNNNNNNNNNNNNNNNNNNNNNNNNNNNNNNNNNNNNNNNNNNNNNNNNNNNNNNNNNNNNNNNNNNNNNNNNNNNNNNNNNNNNNNNNNNNNNNNNNNNNNNNNNNNNNNNNNNNNNNNNAGUGACGGGACCACCAAUAAGGUCUAACGCGCUUCUCUCUAAGCUUUACGACCUACUUUCAGGCUGACCAACGUCUUCACCGGAGAUUAAUCGGUUCUGUUAAACACUUAAACAGUAACUAGAUACCCCAUACUUGCAUUAAAACCCCAUUAUAAGACAAGAUAUAAUAACAUAAUUAAAGUUUAAGAUACAGCAUACCGGAGUAAAAUAAUAUGUUCUUAUAUAAACAUAAGUUUGUUCAUGCUCUAGACAGAUUAUACGUUUAGCUGCUCAUGCCAAGCGUAUAACCUGCCAACAUGGCUUUCUAGAAAUAAAAGGUGAACUGGGUACCUCUGCCUGGAUAAUAGAAAAUAGAACACCAUGCAAUCUGACCAACUCUCUGAUGUAGAAUUUGGCAUAAUCCUUGGCUGAAUAAGAGGUAUGAAAUGGGAGGAAAUAAGAUGAUUUGGUCAUCCUAUCUACAAUGACCCAAACUGAAUCAUGCUAAUGACGAGUUUGAGGCAAACGCGUCAUAAAGUCCAUGUUCACUUCUUCCUACUUCCAAGUAGGAAUACUGAACUCCUGUAUAGGUCUACUAGGAUUCUGAUACUCUAUCUUAAGCUUCCGACAUGUAGAGCACUUAGCCACAAACUCUGUAAUAUCUCUCUUUAUUCCACUCUACCAAUAGAUUUCCUAUAAGUCCCGAUACAUCUUUGUGGCCCCUGGAUGAAUAGAGUCGCGUGCACCAUACGCUUCUACAAGAAUUCACUGCCUUAAGUCAUCUACAGCUUGAACAUACAGACGACCCUGACACCACUGAACACCAUCUCCCCCUUGGGAGAAAACCUCCACCAUCUGAUCCUUAACUUUCUCUUUCAACUUGACUAAACUGGGAUCUCUAUCUUGCUUUUCUUUUACCUCAGAAAAUGGAGAUGAUUCUGCACUAAUCUGAACCCAUAUAUCACCCACCUCUUUAUCUACUAAAUGAACACCUAGUCUGGCAAGAUGAUGGAUUUGCUAGGCAAGAUGAUGGAUUUGCUAAGCUAUCUUCUUCUUACUGUCCUUAACAUGAGCAACACUAACCAUAGACAGUCUUCUGAGAGGAUAGGCCACUAUAUUAGCCUUGCCCGGAUGAUAAAGGACACUCAUGUCAUAAUCUUUCAAGAGCUCUAACCACCUUCUCUGACAAAGAUUGAGAUCUUUUUAAGAAAAGACAUACUGAAGGAUCUUAUGAUCUGUGAACACAUCUACAUAAACUCCGUAUAGAUAAUGCCUCCAAAUUUUUAAGGCAAAUAUUAUGGCUACUAACUCAAGAUCAUGAGUAGGAUAAUUCUUCUCAUAGGGUUUAAGCUGUUUGGAGGCGUAGGCUAUUACCUUACCAUGCUGCAUGAGGACAUAACACAAACCUACUUUGGAUGCAUCACAGUACACUACAAACCCAUCUGGACUAUCUGGAAAAGCUAAGACUACGGCUAAGUUGAGUCGAGUCUCAACUACUGAAAGCUCUUCUCGCAAGGAUCUGACCAUUGAAACUUGACUCUCUUCUGAGUCAAUCUGGACAUAGGGGAUGCAAUAGAAGAAAAUACCUUCAUAAACUGCCUGUAAUAGCAAGCCAAACCAAAGAAACUCCCUAUAUCUGAUAGAGAGAUAGGUAUAGCCCAUUUUCUUACCACUUUGGUCUUUUGAGGAUCUACUCUAAUCCCAUCAUAAAAAAUUAUAUGGCUAAGGAAUGCUACUGACCUUAGCCAAAAUUUGCAUGUACUGAAUUUGAUGAACAACUAUUGAUUUCUGAGAAUCCAAAGCACUCACUGUGGGAAUAGACCAGAAUAUCACCUAUAAAGUCUAUCAUGAACAUGUCCGAGUACUUCUUGAACACACGGUUUAUCAAGUCCAUGAAAGAUGUUGGGGAAUUGGUAAGACCAAAGGACAUGACUAGGAAUUUGAAUUGACCAUACUAAGUAUAGAAGGCUAUUUUUUGAAUGUCACAUUCUCUGACUUUGAGCUGAUGAUAGCCGGAUCUGAGGUCUAUCUUAGAGAAAUAACUGGCACCCUAAAGUUGGUCCAACAAGUCAUUGAUUCUGGAAAGUGGAUACUUGUUCUUGACCGUGACUUUAUUAAGUUGAUGAUAAUCUAUACACAUUCUAAGAGAACCGUCUUUCUUGCAUACGAAUAAGAUUUGUUCACCCCACGGGGACACACUAGGUCUGAUAAAUCCCUUAUCUAAGAGAUCCUUCAACUGUUCUUUCAGUUCUUUGAGUUAUGCUGGUGCCGUUAUGUAUGACAGAAUAGAUAUAGGCUGAGUAUCUUGAAGAAGAUCAAUACCGAAGUCUAUUUCCCUUUUGGGAGGAAUCCCUCGAAGAUCUUUGGGAAAGACAACUAAAUAUUUACUCACGACUGGGACUGUUUCAAGACUGGGAGCUUUGAAACUAGAGUCCUUAACUCAAAUAAGAUGAUAGACACAUCCUUUAGAUAUCAUUUUCCUUGCUCUAGGGUAGGAAAUAAGUUGACCGCUGAAAGCAGAUACGCUUCCCUACCACUCUAGGAUGAGUUUAUUCAAAAACUGGAACUGGACUAUUCUAUUUCUGCAGUCGACUAUGGCAUAGUAGGAAUGAAGCCAAUCCAUGCCGAGAAUGAAAUCAAAAUCAGUCAUCUCUAAUUUAACUAAGUCUGCUGAAGUGACUUUCUAAAAUAUCAUAACUGGGCAGUUCCUGUAUACCCACCGAGCUAUAAUGAUUUUACCCACUGGGGUAGAGACUAAAAAGGGCUCUACUAGAAUUUUAGGACUGAUUCAAAAAUUAACUACAAUAUAAAGAGUGACAAAAGACAAGAAAACGCCUGUAUCUAGCAUAGCAUAAACAUGCGUAUGAAAAAUCUAUAAUGUACCAGUAACCACAUAAGGAGAAUUUUCUUGAUCUUGCUGGGACUGGAGAGCAUAGAAUCUAUUUGGGCAUUGGCUACUAGUAGCAUUGGAAGUGGCACCCUGCUGAGUUGGGCGACCAGACUGAACUGAGGAAUGAUUCUGCUGACCCUGAUAACCUGACUGGGGACAAUCUCUGACUCUGUGGCCUGGCUUGCCACAUCCGAAAUAGAAAUCACUACCAGCUCUCCAAGCACCCUUGUGGUUCUUACCAUAAUUCUGACAAAGAGGAUUAGUUCGGGCAUUGCUGACACUACCCUGAGACUUAGAGCCUGGCACCCUAUCUCUAUUUCUAUCCCUGACAUAGGAUAUGGAGCACUAGCUGACAAAGAAGCUGGAACAGAUAUCUUAAGAAGAAAUUGAGAACGAUUUCCUCCUUCUGAUUUAGGUUGAGCAAACUUGAAACUACCUGUCUUUGCUCUCUUAUUCUGCUCUCCCCCAUCUUAAUCUUUUGAUCUUCUAUAUUCCAAUCAUAAGUCAUAAGUCUAGCUAAAGUGAUGUCACUAUUCAACAUCGCAGACCUACACUCAUUGACCAUACUAUUAUUCACCCCAGAAACAAACUCACUCAUCUUGGCCCUACUGUCUGCAACCACAUGAGGGGCAUAUCUGGCCAAUUGAGUAAAAUUAAGAGAAUACUCUUUCACCAUCAUGUUGCCCUGCCUGAGGUUGAUGAAUUCUAAGACCUUAGCCUCUCUCAGCUCUAGGGGAAAGAACCUCUCUAAAAAUAUGGUGACAAACUUCUCCCACUCUAUAGGUUCUGCAUCAAUUGACCUCUUUGACUUUCACUACUUAUACCAGGUGCGAGCAAUAUCCUGAAACUUAUAUGUAGCUAGCUAUAAACUCUAAACAGCUGACACCCCCAAUAUGUCAGUAACUUUCUGAACCUGAUCGAUAAAUUCCUGAGGGUCCUCAUCUGAAUUAGACCAAAGAAAGGAUGAAGGAUUCAUUCGAGUGAAUUACUGAAUCCUGGCUGCAAUUAAAUUGGCCACUGGGUUGGCCGGAAUUACAACUGGUCAUUCAUUCUAAGAAGUACUGAAUGAGCAAGAGUAGUGAAUGCAGCUCUUAAAUCUUCAUGAUAAACAUGUUCGCCCAAAGGUUCUUCGGGCUGAGGGGCUGACUUAUUCCUAUUUCUUCUUUUAGUAGGCAUGUUCUAUAGAAGAAAGGGAGAAAUAGAUUAGACUAAGAUAUUUACUUGAGAUUAGGAUCACUGCCACGACAAAAAUAUUGAAAGAAAGGAAACUGUUCCUAAUAUAUCUUAUAGCCUCCUGCACAUAAAUAUGGGGUGCAACACACCCAUGUAUAAGACUCUACUAGAUAUUAAUUUCAUACUUCCUAGGACACUAUUGAACCUGGCUCUGAUACCCAGUUUGUAAUGCCUCAGAUCUGGUACCCAAAAUUCUACACGGUGCUCAUGACCCCGAAGGACCACAAGUUAACCCACGACUGAUAUCUAUGCCUGUAUACUACAUAAUAUACUGUAUGAUUGUGGGGACAUAAAAUAAAAAUCUAUAAGGUUCAAGACUGUAACAUAAAUGAUAAUGAUAGAACAUCUGAAUGGGGUAUGAAAUUCCUAAAACAAAACAAAAAUAGCAUGAUAGUCUGAACUUGAUAGUCUGGAAAUCCUCUAACUGACUGAACUGUCUGAAUAAGGAGUUAAUGGGACAUGUCCCAAACUAACUCCAACUAAUAAAUUACUUAAUGAGAUAAUAAAUAAAUGAUCAUGUCCUUGAAAGAUGAGGACUCACUGCUAACUCUGACUAUUAAGACUGGAAUGCUACUAAUGCUCUGGAGCUCGUACUUUUGAACCUAUGGUAUAAGACACCAUAGCACAAAUGCGUCAAUACUUUGAAUGUACUGGUAUUUAUUUGAGGUAGGAUGAAUACAUGGGGUUUGUAUUUAUGAACAAUACUAGCUAACUGACUAAUAUGAACAUGAGAAUACAUGCAUAAAUACAUAGUAACUAUAUCUGAGAUUGUGAUAACAUGAAUUUAUUGAUAACUAACAUGACCGAUAACUGAGUUCUGAUGGAUGAUAUAACUGAUAACAUGAGUGACUAUAUCUAAAAAUUCUGAAUCUAAUAGAACUAGCUGAGUUCCAUACCAUUCUGAGUUGACUGUAUCUGACAGUCCUGAGUUCUGUAGAACUAUCUGAGUUUUAAUACUGAAACUGAUUGACUGAUCUGACAGUCCUGAUUCUAUAAUUGAAAUUAUAGGAAGUAGUUAUCUGAUCGACAUGCCCCUAAUACACCAUUACGGCUGAGUUGGGGUCCAAUCUAUAACCCUAAUUAGAAGGGUGACAAUACCACAUCACUGCUAAGGACAAGCUGUGAGUGACCCUCAUCAGAUAGUGUCCCCAAAAGAGAAUGGUGGGGCCCUCAUCUGACAAUGCUUAUCCAUCUCAUCAACCCUCAUCUGACAGUGGUGAUAUCUCAACCUAUGCUGGCUACACAGUUUUGGAAUGCAAGGAUGAUUUCUAAGAAUCACACCCUCAUCUAAUUAUGUGUGUUCCCAUCCUUGGGUUCACUCGGUGUUAAUUUCUACUCCGAUCUGAAUUGCAUUGAUCAUGGAUUACUGAACUAAACUGGACUGAAUUAACUAAGUUCCAUUGACUGAUGGAAUAGUAUUGAGAUUACUGUAUUACUGAGCUUUCCUGAGUCACAUAACGGACUGAGUUCUAUAGAUCAUGACUUGACUGAGUAUAUCGUGAAAACAUGACCCGGACUCUAGGCACACAACUAUAUUUUUCAGGUACAAGUGCCCCCAAGACUCGACUGAAGGAAAUUGAGAAGUCAUGAUAUUCUUGAAUACAUGACUAACAUAAAAAGUCCAUAAUAUAAUAAUUAAAGAUAUUUCAUGGGCAUUUGAUUAUCAUAGCUUGGUAAAUGAAUAAGAUACCAUGUAUACAUAGCAUAAUUUCAUAUGGCUAACUCAUGAGCAAUCCGACAAACAAUUUCAAUACAUAAGAAUAACAUGGAAGUCAUUUUGGAUCAAAAUUAACCUAUAGUGUAUAAUUUCUAUCCUCCUAGACGUUUUAUCAAACACCUUGCAUGCACCCUUAGGGCAUAGGCCUAAUCAUCAAAUUGACACAUUAUAAAUAAUUAAAUUUAUGGAUUUCACUCACUUGCUCAUGUAGUUUCAAGAAAAAACACAUAAAUAUUCAAACUUGGGAAUCAUAUAACAAGAUAAACAUGGUUACAACCAACCCACAACAUAUAUAUGAUGAUUCAUAAUUUAAAAUAGGGUUCUUAAGAUUUAUGGAUGAAAGGAAUCUAUAAAUCAACACAACUCAUACCUUAGUUCUUGAUUUAGCAAAGAUUGACAAAGAGACUUUCUUGAAAUUGUGUCCCCAAUUGAAACCCUAGUUUGUUCUUGAGAGAAAAUUGAGAGAAACUAGUAUAUUUUGGGUUAAAAAUAGCUAAAUAUUGUGUUAAAGGGCUUAAAUAGUGGUGAGAAAUUGACACCUUUAAACCCUAGAUGCUUCUUUUAAUUCCAGUGAAAUUUUCCUGAAUUGGACCCCUGGUACGACGCGGCGCUAUCGCGCUGUGUCACUGUAAUUUGACAAUUGGGAAAUUGAGGGAUGGCGCGACGUGGAUCCAUCGCGUUGCCACUUUAUUUCUGACCUGGAAGUUUUGCAUGAUGCGCCACUAUCACGGACCCCUACUGGAAUUUGACAAUUUCCAUUUUCUCCUUUGGUUUGAUGCACCACUGACUAAUAUAGCACUGUUUUAUGAUGGAAACUUGAAAUAGUCAUAACUUCAUAUCCGGUUAUUGGAUUUGGGCAAAUUUUAUAUCGAUGGAAAGCUUAUUGAAUUUCCUAUAUGACAUAAAGUGAAAAUCUUGAAAAUUCCUCAUUCAAUAAACAUCAUUAAAUUUAGAAGCUAACACUUGACAUUCUUGAGACAAAAUUAGUUAGGAAACUUUAGGGUAUUACAUUAGCUACCAUCUAUCUCGAUGAAUUCUGAGUUAUUAAGAUAAAUGAGUUAUGCCGUGACAGUAAAUUAGGCAUUAGUGGGUAACCCAAAAAGUGUUGUAGUAAGUGUAGUUAGAUUUUAUUUGUUGUUUUUGUGAAAUUUAAUGCAUUGUGUAAGUGUAUAGAAAGAUAAAUGUAGGAAAUGAAAGUUGAAUAAGUUGGGGAAUAUCCGAUGGGAGACUUGACAGGCCGUCAAAGGGUUGAUAGACCAUCGCUAUAGUCGUCAAAAGUAAACCAAAAACCUGAACUACUGGAAUAAGACCGAUGGACAACUUAACGAACUGUCGCAUCUCUGACGGACCAUCAAGAAGAUUUCCAUAUCAAGGUAGACUGAAUAUUGUUCUGGUAAGCUGUGGAGAUUAACCCGAUAUACCAUCAGACUCCUAACGAAUCAUCGGGUCGACCAUCAACUUAACCUUAAUUUUGACCGGUCGGGUCGGUGCAAUUUAAUUCUGAAUAAGCCAUCCUUAACCGACCCAAACCAUUUUUAAUGUGAUAAAGAGAAGCGAUUGAGUAUGUUACUAACUUUUUAAAUAUUGAGCCUAUUUAAAUUCCCCUGCAUUCAAAGUACCAAAAAGCAUUCAUAUCCUUUUAAGACUUUUCCUCCUCAUUUUUCUCUCCUAUUUAAACAACUCUCUCUUUCUUUUCUUCACAGUAGAGAUCAAGUCAGAAAUCACUGAUAAAAACUUUAAGUCUUCUUUUGUUCUAAGAUUGCAAAAUUAAAGUAGUGAAGUGUACUUUAGAAAUAAGGUAUGACCACAACCUUACUUUUCUUUUCAAACUGGUGAACAUGAGUUAUGUCAGUUGAUAAUUGUUCAAAGGAAUUUUAUUUUGUUUUUUACUUUGUUGUGAUUCUGAUUCUAAGUCAAACUCUGGUGUACACUAUCCUAGGUGAAAUAUGAGUAAUCCAUGAACCAAAAGUGUCAAGAACUGUGCUUAAACACAAAAUUAAUGCCAUAAUUAUGUGUAGAAUAACUUAAAGUACACCAGGUGUUCGACAAAAUGCCAAAGUAAAUUUGAGGUUUAAAAGUGAGGAAGACAGACAACUUGAUGGACCGUUGGACCCUUGAUGGAUCAUGGAGUAGACCUUUAUAAUAUUAUUGAGUCUGAUGCUUACCGAUUCAGCCGCGAUGGGCAACUCAACGAACCGUCAGAAUCCUGAUGGACUGUCGGGUCGACCAUCACAAGGCUACUUAACAAAAGACUCACGGGUUUGAGGCUUGAUGGUGAGGGCGAUGGACCAUUGCAGUCCUGACAGAUCUUUAGAGGUUUCAUCAAGUCAAGUUUUUACUAUUUAUAUCUGGGUCUGAAUCGCAAACUGAUUAUUUAUUUAUUUUUCAGGUGAUAUGUCAUGAAUAAUUCCCCUAACCAGAGGUGGUGGUAGAACACAAUGGGGAAGAAAAGAACCAGCAAGGAAUAAGGAGUCGCCUACCUUCAACACUCGGCAAUGAGAUAGGGUACCCCCAAUACUCUCCCAGUCUGAGGAGGAGGGUAAAAAUAGUAGUAGUAGUACAAGUUCCAAUCCCAAUAAGAAAAGGGUUGAAACCUCUAACCCUGACCAAGUUGAGGCAUCAGAACAAGAGGAUCCAAAUGUCAUAAGGUGUAAGGACCCGCAAGAACGGAAAGAAGUUUAAUGGAAAAUAGAGGGAGCAUGGGAGAAUUUCCUGGAUGGUUUGGAACCAAUAACAAAUAAACCAAUAAGGAGGCCCAUCCACAAAGAGUAUUAGAUUGUUAUCGCUGAGCUGCAUGAGUACCUAGAGCUAGAGCAGAGAUUUAAUAGAUAUGAGUUAUCUUAAAUAAAAAGGCUGCCCGAGACAUACCAACCGUGUCUUGUUCAUGAGUCCUUUUCCAACUAUCUAGCAUUUCUAGCAAGGAUGUGAAGAUCAUUGACAUGGGAAAUUAGGAUGUGGUUCUGGUGCUGGAGUGAACAUAGAUAUUUCAGGAUGCACGUUAAAAAGAUUCCUAUUUGGUCCUUAGUAUGAGAUACCUGGUGCGAUCCCAUAUAUGGGGCACCAAAUGUUCACAGCAAACCAACAAAGACCCUGGCUGGCCUGAGUACUGAUAGAUGAUAGAAAUACAGCAUGGCUGUAUAACCUUCAUAAUCAGAUAGUUAAGUCGUCCCUAAGUUUUAGGGCAAAAUUCUGGUGGGCAAUUGUAAGGUUGAGAUUGAUGCCAACAGGCAGUGACGCUAACUUAUAGAUUCAGAGAGCGGUAAUAGUUGCUGCCUUAAUUGAGCGACUGAAGGUAGACAUUGGCCACACUAUCGUCGAUGAGUUAUUUGCCCAUGCACAUAAGACAUCCAGUAAUCUACUAUUUCCAUGCCUUACCACGGAGUUGUGCAAAUGGGCAAAUGUACCUUUGAUUAGUAGGGUUGAUAAUGUGGUUCGUACGAGUUGCAGAUAGGAUAUUAAGAAAAGAAAAGAUGACUCAAAGUAUGAAAUGCAAGUCAACAAGCCUCCCGCCUAUUAGACUCAGUCAGAUCCAUCCCUUGCGACUUUGGAUGUUCCCUCAGGUAUGCCAUUUCCUAUCACUAUAUAUGUACCAUUGAAUUUUAUGCUGCCUACCUCUUCUACAGGUUUAACCUCUAUUCUUCCAAUUGGUGGGACUAUAGAUUUUGCAUCCGUCCCGCCUCAAUAUUCUGAGUACAGGCUGACACAGGAGAAUUUUACUAAGUCUAUUAAAGAACACAAGUGGUUUGAGAAGUAGUUAAACACAUAGGCUACACAGUUCAACCCAUUUUUGAUCGUACUAUAGCUGAGGAAAUCUAUUUUUUUAAAUAUUCAAACCAGCAAGGACUAUAUGGAGGAACGUAUCAGGAAAAGGUUGGAUGUGAUGUCCAUUCCAGAUUUUUAUUAGUUCAUGGAAAAAUUCAGGCAAGCACAUGCGAACAUAGCAAAGUUAAAAACACAACCACAGCAGCCCACUUUUGAUCCUACUCUAAUUAUCAGCGAUGAGGAUUAGGGCAUGGUAAACUUGAUAGGUAUGCCACUAAAAAAUAAGGGUAAGCAGGUGGAUGAACAUGAUGAUAGAAAAGCUGUGGUAAGAAAAAGGCGAGAAGCAAUAAAUCCUAAAGAAAGGUAUGAGAGAGACUUGAGGAAAGCUACAAAGAGAUAAACAAAGUUGCGGAUGAAGCCGCAGGAGUGUCAACCAGUUCUUCCCCACCUAGGGGGCCAAUUCCAUACCCGAUUCCUAUUGAUAUACCUCCGAGCUAGGAGGACGUUAAUUUGAGCACCCUUACCACCAUAGGGGUCAACAUUGCUACACCUGAGGCUAAAGAAGCCUCACUAUAUUUGACUGAUGCAUCAUCAUACUGAGAGGAUUUAUAAGUAUUCCCCUUCUUUAUACUUUAUUUUAAUUCAUUGAGGACAAAACAUUCAUUUUUAGUGGGGGUGGGUAUAAUUGUACCACCAGAGUUUUUGUUGCUUGUGUUCUUUUCCUCUCAUGUGCUAUCUAGUAGAAAUAGCAUAUAUAGGUUGUAUAUUUAUUUUUUUGGUGAUGUAUGUAUCGUUUCAUGAUUAUUAAUAUAUUUAUGUUAUUUUUCUCCCUUUAGCACCAUUUUGUAUGUAUGAAUUAAAAAAAACUAUAGCAAAGUACUUUGAACAUGAUUGUAUGGCUAUUCUUUCUUGUCACUAGGUAAAUAUAUUGAACUACAAUUUGUGAUUCUAUAAUUGGCAUUAGGAUAUAAGAAGUGCAUGAACAUGUGAUGUAAAUCCCAAGAGUUGGUAGAAUAAGUGUUAACUCAUUGCCUGUGUGUGAGAGUGUUUGUUAUAGUUCUCGCAUAGUGUUAUACCUAGAACAUGCCCAGUUCAUUGAUGUUGUUUUGUGAUUGAUUCAAUAAGAUAGGAUAGCAGACCUCCUUGUACUUUUAGUUUACUUAGAUGAAAAGAAUGACCCACCAAAAAGAUUUUUCCAUUUUUGAACCCCUUUUGAGCUUAUGUUAGUUUUUUAUUAAUUCUCAAUAACUCUGAUCAAUUCUCUUUAGGAUGUUAGCUCCACACUUUGGUCCUGGUCCAAUAUUAGACACUGUCCACCUUAACUUAGGUAGAACACCUAAGUUGAGGGUAGCUACUAUCAAGACGUUAGCAGUUUAAUAAAGGUGGUAUAGAGUUGAAAUGAAAUAUCGCAUCCGGCCUUGAUCUAGUUAGUUAUUGUGUACCUCAACUGACUGCAUCAAUAUAAGUUGAGGGUCGCUAGUGCUGAAUCUAAAACAAAUUUGGUUUUUAUAGAAAAAGCAUUGAUGAAUAAUAAAAAUUAUAAGUAAGCCAGAAAAGCAGUAUUCUUGGUGAGUAACAAUCAUGGGAAAAGAAAGUGAAGUCUGAAAUUUAAGUUACUUAUCCCAAAAUUUGUCCUCACCUAGCCUCAGAACCUCGUUACUAGCCUUAGAAAGACUUGCGUGAUCUUUGCGAAUCAACCAUAAGGGAGCAUUAAAUGAUAAGGUCAAGCCUAUUGGUAUGUAUUCUAUGUUUGAAACUUCAUUUGUGAGAGUGAGUGUCUUAGUUUCAUCCAUAGGUUAAAUGACUAGAGUGUGGUAGACUUCUUUGACUGUGAGGGCAUAUUGAGUUAUACUUAGUUUUGCUAAUUUCUUUGGGGUUGUGUCUAUAGUUGUGUUUGUGCUGAAUUGUAAAUAAUGCCAAUUAUGGAUCCUGAUGUGUUGAGACCACACGUGCAAGAUAACUGUUGAAUGGUUGUAUGAAGUAUAGUUUAACAGUUGAAUGCCCAUUAUUAUAUUUAUUCAUACAUGCGGUUUAGUGUUGAGUUGAUUGAGGAUAAGCCAUUGUCUUAAGUUGAGGGUGUUGAUGUUUUGGCUUUUGACGAAAUACUUUAUACCCUUUGCAAGGGAUAAUUGGGAAUUUUCAAGCAAUUAUUAUUGUAUUUGACACUGGAUUUUAGUGUUUUUAGGUUAGAGACUUAGCUGGAGAAAUAACUUGGAGAAGCAAGAGAAUAAGGGCUUUGACAGUCAAACUGAUAGACCAUCAACCAUAUGACAGACUUUCAGGAUGUCCAUCAAUGAAAAGCAGAUGAGCACAAUAGAAAACCUCUACGACAGCCCAAGUUAUGGACCAUUAGGACAUUGAUAGGCCGUCAACUCGAAGUAUAAUAAUUCAACCUUGGUGAUGAAGAGACGGUCCAAGCGAUGGACUGUUAGCAUAAUAAUGGGCUGUCAAUAUGGACGUCGGAGGUGAAACAAAAUGUAACAUCACUAGAAUCCUUACGUUGAACCUAGCGAUGGACCGUCAAGGGCUUGACGAGCCAUCAACUCAUCCGUCAAACUUAAAGCGGCAAUUCAAUUUUUGAAUUUUAAAACCCUAGGGACUGAAACAUAUAAAUACCCAAUUUAGGUUUUAUUCAUGGAUCUUUUUAUCUUUCACUCAUAUAUUAUUCACUUUAACUUUUGAAUAUCUUGUAACUCAUUACUCUCUGGGAAAGAGCUGAAAUUGUGGAUCUACAUUAUUAUUCACCAUUCUAUUUGAAGAUCUAAGAGAACAUUUGUAGGAACUUUUGUAAGUGAUUAUUUGAAUUAAUUUAUGAACAAAACAAUGUUUUCUUCUUCUUCCUUUGAGAUGUGUUGCUAAACCUCCCAUAACUAGGGUUAAGGGAGCCUUGAUGUAAAUAGCUGUUUUGGGUUGUGGGAUUGUGUGAAUUCAGUAACAAAUUACAAUUGCAUAAACUCUUCUUUAUUUUAAUAAUCUUUCUUUGUUGCAAACUUUAAGAAGAGCCCAAGAACACAACUUGUUUGAGUAUAAAAUAUGUGUGUUGGGAAAAGAAGAGGUUUACAAAGAUCCUAAAGACUUUAACCUUGGGUUAAGGGUUGAUGUCUUAACAGGAUCAACCUACUUGAGCAAUCAAUUGAACAUAUUAAUGUGCUCUUUAAGUUUGAGAGAAUUGAGUGGUAAUCAUCUAUUAAGGUUGAGAAAUAAAUAGAUGAAGUCUAGAGUUCAAUAUAUUCUUGCAAUUGGAAUUUGUUACAUAUGAAUUUGAGGUAACCCAUAACCUUGACUAUUAUAACAUCUCAGUGAACAUAAUCCUAGUUUUGUUAUUCUCAUUGAGUUAAACUUUACAAGAAUACUUAUUAGUUGAAACACUGUCUACUAUAAUAUUAUUUCAUUAUUAACAAACAAACCUCCUUUUUUACCUCAGAACCUUUGAUCAACCAUUCAUUAAUAAUCAUAAUGCUUAAUUUACACCAUAUUCCCUGUGGGAUUUGACCCCAACCUAGGUUGGGUUUUAUAUUUGACGAAGACCGCUUACACUUUCUAAAGAGAGUUGUAAUUUCGGCGUAUCACCUACACUUCCCUGUUUGUCCUAAAUCCCACUCCCAACUAAAAUACUAAUUGGUGCAAGAACUGAUAACUGAAAAGAUCAAGUCAUGGUAUUUUUAAACAAUAGUGUAUACAGAGUCUAUAGCUAUUAUACACAUGUAAACUGAUAGUGCUCAACAUGAUUAUAAUAGACUCAAUAUCAUAAUAAAAUAAUGAGUUGACUAACUCAUUACUUGAAAAGUCUGAAAUGUAAGUAAACAUGUAAGUAUCGGGUAUUCAAAAAUUACCAGCACUAAAUAAUUUCAAAAUUCGAUAACAACACUUAAAAUAGUGCCAUAAAGUUACAAUUCAAAGACCCAAAACAUGAGACAUCUCAAUAACCUAAUAAAUUACAUAAAUUUGAACAUGGGAAUGAUUUUACCUUAGGGAGAUAUCAUGUUUGUACUGUUUAAAUCAUAAUUUGAUAAUUUGACAUGAUAUUCGCCAAACACGACAAGGGGUUUUGGAACAUAAAUCAUGUAGGAGAAAAAUUCACAUAAAAAGAUCAUUAGCAUGUUUUGAAUGUAAAAUUAUUAAGGGAACAUGAAUAAAUUUCUUGAAUUUUAUUGAACAUGAUCAUAAAUUAGUGUAUAAUUGAUACUUGAACCAAAAAGAGGGGUUUGGGCUUAAUGUGUGAAAGAAACCCAUUGAUGAAUACCCCACAUACCUUAAUUAGAUGAUUACUUGAAGAAAGCUUGAAAUUCAAACUUGAAUUUUUGAAUUAUUUAGGAAGAAAGCUUGAAAAUUUUGUUCUAGGGAAGAGGGAAAGGGUUUACGUAUGUGUUUAAUGAUGAAAAAUGGGUAUAUAAUUCCCUUUUUGGUGCUUUAAUCCGUUACUCGGGUGAUUGAAGAAAAGGGGAAUAACCAAAAUUCUCCUUGGUCUUUUACUUAGGACUACAUGAAAUAUAUCUUCGACAUCACGAAGGCUAUGUAGGAUCGAAUUCCAAAAUUUGGCCGAAUCAAGAGCUCUUAACUCUUCUUUUCUGUAAGAGUUUCCUAUGAACAUUUUUUACCUCAAUAGAAAUUCACACACUAGGAUAAUGAUGAUGAAAUAUAUAUUCACAUACAAAACUUGGGAUUAAAGUUUAUACACAUAGAAAUGACAGUUCAAAUUCUAGCCCAAAAAUAUGUGGUAUUAUAAUAUCCAAGGGAAGUAUUUACCAUCUCAUCCGAGUCAAGGACUCAAAUUCUGAAACUCCAAGUCUUAAGUCAAUUCCAUUAGUGAAUGCAAGAAAGAACUUCACACACUAGGAUAAUGAUGAUGAAAUAUAUAUUCACAUACAAAACUUGGGAUUAAAGUUUAUACACAUAGAAAUGACAGUUCAAAUUCUAGCCCAAAAAUGUGUGGUAUUAUAAUAUCCAAGGGAAGUAUUUACCAUCUCAUCCGAGUCAAGGACUCAAAUUCUGAAACUCCGAGUCUUAAGUCAGUUCUAUUAGUGAAUGCAUUUCCAAAAGUGUUCCUUAAAGAUCUUCCCAGAGUUCCUCCUGAAAGGGAACUUGGCAUCGAAAUAGAUCUUCUCCUAGUUACCCAACCUAUCUCAAUUCCACCUUACAUAAUGGAUCCAACUGAGUUUAAAGAAUUGAAGAAUCAGUUUAAAGAACUCUUAGAUAAGGGUUUCAUUAGUACCUGUGUCUCUCGAUGGGGUGUUCCAAUUCUGAUCAUGCACAAGAAAGAUGGUUCUUUCUGAAUGUGCAUCGACUAUCAUCAGUUGAACAAAUUUAAAAUCAAUAAUAAGUAUUCUCUCCUCAGAAUUAAUGACUUGUUAUACCAACUUCAGGGUGCAAGCUAUUUCUCUAACAUAGACCUCAAAUUCGGCUAUCAUCAGCUUCGAGUCAGAGAAUAUGACAUCCCAAAGACAGCUUUCAAACCUCAGUAUGGUCACUUUGAAUUCCUAGUUAUGUUUUUUGGACUAACAAAUGCUUUGUAAUUUUUAUGGACUUGAUAAACAAGGUGUUCAAGCAGUACUUGGAAAUAUUUGUCAUAGUCUUUAUAGAUGAUAUCCUUGUCUAUUCUCAUAGUGAAGGUGAUAAUACAAACCAUUUAGGACUGUAAUGCAGACCCUUAAGGAUCACCAGUUAUUCACUAAGUUCAAUAAGGGCAAAUUCUAGUUAAUAUUAGUAGCUUUCCUUGGUCACAUCAUUUAAGGUGAUGGCAUUUGAGUUUACCCUCAAAAAACCAAAACACUAAGAAACUGACCUAGAGUCAUCUCUCCAUUAGACAUUAGGAGUUUCUUAAUUUUACAAGGUUAUUAUAGUCAGUUUGUUAAAGGACUUUCUUCUAUUGCUUCUGUCAUGUCUCGACUAACCUAGAAAAAAGUCAAAUUUCCUUGGUCACAUUCCUGUGAGAAGAGUUUUUAAAAAUUAAAGACUUGACUUACUUUCUCUCUAGUCUUGACUUAACCAGAUGACACAUAUGAGUUUGUAGUCUAUUGUAAUAUUUAUAGAGUUGGUCUUGGUUGUGUAUUAAUACAGUGAGGUAAGGUCAUAGCCUAUACCUCUAGACAACUUAAACCCCAUGAGAAGAAUUACUUGACCCAUGACCUUGGGUUGGCAAUAGUUAUCUUUGCUUAUAGAUUUGGAGGCAUUAUUUAUAUAGGGUUCAUGUUGAUGUGUUUAUGGAUCUUAGGAGUUUAUAGUAUGUAUUCAUACCAAAGACCUAAAUCUCUAUUAAAGAGGGUGGCUAUAAUAUUUGAAAGACUAUGAUAUAAGCGUACUGUAUCGCCCUAGUAAGCUAAUAUAGUAGUCGAUUCCCUUAGUAGAUUGUCUCUGGGAAGUGUUUCUCAUGUUGAGUAUUAUAAAAAAGAGUUAUUCGGUGAGGUUUAUCAGCUUGCUAUGUUAGGUGUUCGGAUGAUUGAUUCGGGUGAAGGUAGUAUAUGGGUUUAGAAUGUUCAAAAUCUUCAUUGGUGGCCAAAGUAAAAGAAAAGCAAGACAGGGAUCCUAUUUUGAUCAAGUUGAAGAAGGGAUCAAAUGGUGGAGGUUUUCUUCUAAGGCAAAGAUGGUGUGCUUUGUUGUCAAAGAAGGUUAUGUGUUUCGUGUGUUAAUGGUUUGAGACAAAAAUACUUGCUGAAAUACAUAGUGCACGAUAUUCUAUUCACUCAGGAGCCACUAAGAUGUAUCAUGAUUUGUGAGAAAUAUAUUGGUGGAAUGAUAUGAAGAAGGAUAUUGCAAAAUUCAUGGCUAAGUGUUCGAAAAUCUAGCAGGUUAUAGUUGAGCACCAAAGCCCUAGUAGUAUGAUUUAGGAGUUCAACAUCCCCACUAAGAAGUGAGAGGUGGUGAACAUGGAUUUUAUGACAAGGUUACCUCAUAUGCAUCGUUACCAUGAUUUGAUUUAGUAUAUAGUAGAUAAAAUUACUAAAUAAACAUAUUUCUUUCCAAUUCAUACUUUGUACUUAGUCGAGGAAUAUACUAGACUCUAUCUCAAGGUAUUGGUGAAGUUUCAUGGGGUUUCAUUGACCAUUAUUUUAGAUAGAGGUACUCAAUUUAAAUCAUAGUUUUGGAAGGUUUUAGAAGGGUCUUGGUACUUAAGUUUAUCUAAGUACAACUUUUCAUCCUCAGGCAGAUGGUCAGGCAGUGCAGAAUAUUCAGACUUUAGAGGACAUGUUGAGAGCUUGUGUUACCGACUUUAAGGGUAGUUGGGACAAUCACUUAACUUUGAUUGAGUUUGCCUACAACAAUAUCUAUCACUUUAGUAUUCAGAUGGCUCUGUAUGAGGUUCUCGAUGAAAGAAGGUAUACAUCUCCUAUUUGUUGGUUUUAAAUAUGUGAGGCUACUUUGAUGGGGCUAAAUUCAGUGUAUGAGGUGAUGGAUAAAGUUUAGUUAAUUUGAGAAAGUCUGAAGACAUCCUAAUGUCGUUAGAAAUCUUAUGCAGAUGUGAGGAGAAAGGAUCUUGAGCUUGACAUUGGCGAUUUGGUUUAUUUGGAAAUUUCACCAAUGAAAGGGGUGAAGAGGUUUGGUAAAAAAGGGAAGUUCAGUCCUCGCUUUAUUGGCCUAUAUGGGAUUAUGAGCUACUUUGGAAAAGUAGCUUAUGAUUUAGUGUUGCCUGCAUAUUUGGCAUCAGUGCAUCUGAUGUUUCAUUUCUCUUUGUUAAAGAAAUAUAUUGGUUACUCAGCUUAUGUUAUUCCUCUGGAGAGUGUGGGCAUGAAAGAUAGCCUUUCCUACAAAGAAGUCUCAGUUGAGAUCCUUGACCGACAAAUUCGUAGGAAUAAAGAAGUCCAUUUGGUUAAGGUUUAAUGGAGAAAUCUGUCUGUUGAGGAAGCUACUUGGGAAGCAGAAGCAGAUAUCCGAUCCAAGUAUCAUUAUAUUUUAUCUAUGAAUUCUGAUCCACUUUGAAGUAAUUCUUUUCCUUAAUUAAUUUUCUCAUUUCUAUUUCAGCUAUUAAACCAUGGUAAUGUCAUUGCAUGCAUUCAUAAAUUUAGUUCAGUGCAUGUGCCAUGUUUCAAAUUCAGUGACAUAAUCAUGAUUUAGCUCAUAAGUAUUCAGUAUAUAAUUUCAGUUUUCCUAGUACCUCACCUUGAAAUAAUUUUGUUUUAAAAUGAAUGAUCCCAACAAGGAGAUAUUAUAAUACCCUCCAAGAUCCUAGACAAGUUUCCAUCUAGUAGUAACAUGUUUAAAGGGUCAAAAGUAAUCAUUUCACACUAAGUACAAGAAACUUAGCCAUUUUAAGACACCAUGAUCUCAAAUAAUUUAACUUUGGCCUUCCCGAGUUUUAAACAUUAAUUUUUAAUUUGAAAUAUUUAAACAUUAAUUUUUAAUUUAAAAUAUGUUUAGGGAUAUUAAAAGGGUCAUCCAGGAGAGUUUCAGAAUUUUUUGAAUAGUUUCAUGGUGUUUUUACACAUUAGAGGUAGAAUACCUGUAAGACCCCACAAAAUUCCUAAGCUUAAAUCAGUCCUUUAAGCUUGUCAAGGGGGGGUCCCAUACUUAGAAAAUUCUAGCUAAGUUCCAAGGCUUAGUUUAUUUUUGUUUUUCAAAAGUUGGCAAACUCAUUUCGUCACCUUAAUUUCCUUUAAUGGUUCGUAUUUUUGUUAAUUCAUGAUCAGAGAGGUCAAUUGGUGUUCCCGGACAAGUUUCAGAAUUUUUAGACCUUGUUUAGACCAUGUUUGGUGUCCUAAAGCAGUUGACCAAUGCUAUCUUAGUGCGCCGCGUUGCCUAUCACAUUGGUUAACAUUAUUGAAGGGACUGGCAGUAAAAUUACUGAGGCUUGGCAUGAUCAUGAUGCGAUGCGUUGGGUAUCGCAUUGAUGCAUCGAUGUACCGCAUCGCUAAUCGCCUCUAUACUAGUAUUUAGUCAUUAAAUAUUCAUGUUUUUAAGGGAAAAAGGGUCAAUUUCCCACCCCUAUAUAAGCCUAUAACAUGAGAUUUACCCUUAGUUGACCAAAAUAUUGUUGUUACACUCAAAUACUCUUAAGAACAAGUCUAGGGUUUCCAUAGGAGCUUCAAAUUCAAGAGAUUCUACCAUUAAUUUAUAAGAAUUUUCCAUCCAAGGUAUGUCAAGUGUUCAUUCAUGGAUUCCUUUCAUCCAUGAAGCCCAAGAAUCCAAAUUAUAAAUUGUGAAUUGUGAUGUUUAUGUUGUGGAUUGAUUAUGUUCACGUAGUUAUUGUUGUAGGAUUCCCAAGUUGGAGUCUUUAUGUUUUGUUCAUGAAACUAUGCUAGAAUGUGGGUUGAAAUUUAUGAAAUUAAGUUGAAUUAGGGAAUCAUGUUGUAUUAAUUUGAUAUCAUGCCUAAGCCUUAAGUUAUGCAUACUAGGUGUUUGAUAAAAUGCCUAAGAAAAUAAUACUUGUGCAUUACGACUCAAUAGAACCUAAUUGAUGAAUUCAUGUUAGCAUUAUGUUCAAAAUGACUCCCAUGAUAUUGUUAUGCCUUAUAAUAGAUUGAUGUAAUGCUCAUGAGAUUAGUCUUAGGGAAUUAUGACAUAUUUAUAUGCAUUCUUAUUCAUGUGUAAGCCUGUGGUAUGCAAAUACUUCAUGAAAAUCCCCAAUGAUAGUACUAUGAAUUGUUGGCCAUGGUUAUGUGUUCAAGAAGUGUCAUGUAUUGUCAGUUUCAUGCUAUCGAGUCCUAGGGGUACUUGUACCCGACAACUUAGCUGUGUGCCUAGAACCAACGUCUAUUUUAUGAUAAAUCUCAGUUAUGCCAUAAUUAGUAGUAUCCUCAGUCAGUUUCAGAACUCAGUAGAAUUCAGUCAGUUACAUGACUCAGGAAAACUCAUUAAUCUAAGUAAUCUCAUUUAGUUAUCAGAUCUUAAUAGUAUUUCGUCAGUUAACAAAACUCAAUAAAAUCUGUCCAGUUCAGUUCAAUUAAUCAUGUUCAAUGUCUAUUCAGAUAGGAGUAGGAUUCAGCACCGAGUGAGUCCAAGGAUGGAAAGUCACCUGUUAGUAGAGGGUGUGAUUCUUAGAAGGAAUCCUUGUGCUCCAGAACUACGUAGCCACCGUAGGUUGAGACACCAAACUUUCAAGUUAAGGGUAGAUGAGGUGUCUUAACCUGUUAUUUAAGGGUCCCACAGUUCUCCUUAGAGUACCUAUCAGACGAGGUAUUUCUCACAGCUUAUCCUUACCAGUGGCACAGUUUUGACACCCUUCCAACUGGGGUUAUAGGUUGGAUCCUAAAUCUAUCUAGAAAAAGAGGCAUGUAGGUUAGAUGAAUUCACCUAUAGUUUCAGUUAUAGAAUCAAGACUGUCAGAUACAGUCACCUAGUCUCAGUAAUAGAACUCAGAUAGUUCUACAGAACCUAGGACUAUCAGAUACAGUCACUCAGCCCAGUACGAAAUGCAGCUAGUUCCAUCAGAACCUAGACUGUCAGACAGAGUCACCCAAUAUCAAUUAUAUCAGUUAUAUCAAUUGUCAGUAACUCAUGUUAUCAGUAUUCAGACUCAGUACUCAGUAUUACUCAUGAAUCCAGUCACAGUUACAUUUGUCAAUUAGCAUUGUUCAUGCAUAUGAACCCUUUGUUUCAGCCUACCUCACUUGUAUACAAGUGCAUUCAAUCGUACUGAUGCAUUUUCUUUAUGGUGUUUUUAUACCAUAGGUUCAGAAGCACGAGCUCCCAAGCAUCAGUAGCAUUCUAGUUUUAGCAGUCAGAGUCAGUAGUGAGUCCUCAUCAUUCGAGGACGUUGUGAUUUUAUUAUUUCAUAUAUUUAGUACUUAGUUAUUUCAGUAGUUGGAGUUAGUUGGGGAUAUGUCCCAUCAACUCUUUAUUCAGAUAGUCUAGAGGCUUUCAAACUAUAGUAUGCUCACAGUUAUUUCAGUUAUUUUGGUAAUGAUGUACCACAUUUAUAGAUGCUAUGUUUUAUCAUAUAUUUGAACCUUAUGGCCUUUCAGCCUUUAAUUCCACAUUUUUACAUCAUAUUAUGCAGUGCUCAGUUAUAGAUAUCAGUCAUGGGUUUGCUUAUGGUCCUCCCAGGUCAUGAGCACCGUGUGGCAUUCUGGGUACCCAAUUCGGGGUGAUAAAAACUUGGUAUCAGAGUUUAAGGUUCAAUAGUGUCCUAGGAAGUCUAAAAGCCUCAUCUAGUAGAGUUUUGUACAUGGGUGUGUUGCGCGCCACAUUUAUGCAUAGGAGGCUAUAAUAUGUUUUAGGAAUAGUUUUCUUUCUUUUAGUUUUCAUGUCGUGCCAUAGAGAAUGUGCUCAUGUUUCACUCUUAGUCUAAUUCGUUACUCCCUUUUUUCUAUAGAACAUGCCUCCUAAGCGAAGAUACAAAAAUAUGUUAGCCCCUUAGCCCAUCCAAGCAGAUCUCUUGGAGGAACAUAUUUCUCAUACAGAGUUUAGAGUUGCAUUCACUACUCUUGCUAACUCAGUUGCUGCCCAGAAUGACCGACCAACUAUCAUUUUGGCUAACCUAGUGGCCAACAUCGUAGCAGCCUAGAUUCAGGACUUCACCCGAAUGAAUCCACCAUCCCUUUUUAGGUCUAAGUCAGAUGAGGACCCUUAAGAAUUCCUUGAUCAGGUUUAGAAGGUUAUAAAUAUCAUAGGGGUGUCAGCUGUUGAGAGUGCUGAGCUAGCUGCAUAUCAGUUGCAGGAUGUGGCUCACACAUGGUUUAAAUAGUAGAAAGCAGAGAGGGCUGGUGAAGCAGGUCCUAUAGAGUGGGAGGAGUUUUCCACUGCUUUAUAGAUAGAUUCUUUCCCCUAGAGAUGAAGGAAUCUAAGGUGCUAGAAUUUAUCAACCUUGGGUAGGGUAACAUGAUAGUGAAACAGUAUCUCUUAAGUUUACUCAACUAGCUAGAUACACUCCUCAUGUAUUGGCAGAAAACAGGGCUAAGAUGAGUAAGUUUGUUUCUGGGGUGAAUGAUAGUGUGGUCAAUAAGUAUAGAUCUGUAAUGUUGAUUGGUGAGAUGGACAUAGCCAGCCUUAUAUCCAUGCUCAACAGAUAGAGGAGCAGAAGAUUAAGAUGAGAGAGAAGCAGAAUAAGAGAGCAAGAAUAGUUAGUUUCAACUUUGCUCAACCUAAGUCUGAGGGUUGAAGUCAUUCUCCAUUCUUCCCAAAGUCAUCCAUUCUAGCUCCUUCCUCAACCAGUUCUCCAGUUCCAAAAUUUAGAGACAGCAAUAGAGAUAGGGUACUUGUAGAGAUGGCAGUGAUGUUUUCUUUGGAUGUAGCAAGCCAUGCCAUAGAGUCAGAGAUUUUCCUCAGCUAGGUCAUCAGGGUCAGCGUAACUGUUCUUCAACUCAGUCCUAUCACCCGAAUCAGCAGGGUGCCACUUCCAGUGCUACUAGUAGACAACGUCCAAAUAGAAUCUACGCUCUUCAGUCUUGAUAGGAUCAGGAAAAUUAUCUUAAUAUUGUUACUGGUACGUUAUAGAUCUUUCAUUUGUAUGUUUAUACUUUUCUAGAUCCCAGAGCUUCUUUGUCUUUUGUUACUCCUUAUAUAGCAGUUGAUUUUAGAGUCAGUUCCAAAAUUCUAGUAGAGCCCUUCUCAGUCUCCACCCCAGUGGGUAAAACCAUCAUAACCCAAUGAGUAUACAGGAACUGUCCGAUUAUGGUAUAUUAGAAAGUCUCUUCAGUAGACUUAGUCGAAAUAGAAUUGUCCUAUUUUAGUUUUCGAAUGAACCUAUCAUAGAGUGGAAAGGUAGUAAUUUAGUUUUUAGAGGUCAUCUUGUUUCCUACCUUUGGGAACAGAAAUGAUAUCUAAGGGAUGCAUCUAUCAUCUUGUUCGAGUUAAGGACUUUAGUUCCAAAACUCCCAGUUUUUAAUCAAUCACAGUAGUGAAUGAAUAUUCAUAUUUCUUUCUCGAAGAUCUUCUAGGAAUUCCUCUUGAAAAGGAAAUAGACUUUGGUAUUGAUCUUCUUCCAUAUACUCAGCCUAUAUCUAUUCCUCCAUAUAGAAUGGCACCAGCGGAACUCAGAGAAUUUAAAGAACAGUUGAAUGAUUUCCUAGAUAAGGGAUUCAUUAGAUCUAGUGUGUCCCCACGGGCCGCACCUAUCUUAUUCUUGCAAAAGAAAGACAAUUAUCUCAAAAUGUACAUUGAUUAUCGUCAACUCAAUAAAGUCAUGGUCAAGAUCAAGUAUCCACUUCCCUGAAUCGAUGAAUUGUUUGACCAACUUCAGGGUGCCAUUUAUUUCUCCAAGAUAGAUCUUAGAUUAGGCUAUCAUUAACUCAGAGUCAGAGAAAGUGACAUUCCAAAAAUAGCCUUUCAUACUCGAUAUGGUCACUUCAAAUUCUUAGUUAUGUCUUUUGGUCUUUCUAAUUCCCUAGCAACUUUUAUGGACUUGAUGAAUCAUGUGUUCAAGCAACACUUGGACAUGUUCAUCAUAGUUUUUGUAGGUGACAUCCUUGUUUACUCCCGCAGUGAGCGUGAUCAUACAGACCAUCUCAGAAUAGUAUUCAAUACUCUUAAAAAUCAUACGUUGUUUGCCAAAUUUAAUAAGUGCGAGUUUUGGCUAAGAUCAGUAGCGUUCCUUGGUCAUAUUAUUUCUGGUGAUAGUAUUAAAGUUAAUCCCCAAAAGACUGAAGUAGUAAGAAACUGGCCUUGCCCUGUAUCUCCAUCAGAUAUUAGGAGCAUCUUGGGUUUGGCUGGCUAUUAUAGAUGGUUUGUUGAGGGAUUUUCUUCUAUUGCAUCCCCUAUGUCUAGAUUGACUCAAAAGAAAUUUAAGUUUCAGUGGUCAGAUCCUUGUGAGAAGAGUUUUUAGGAGUUGAAGACUCGACUCACCUUAACUCUAAUUUUGGCUCUUUCAGAUGGUACAGAUGGGUUCAUAGUGUAUUGUGAUGAAUCCAUAGUAUGUUUGGGUUGUGUCCUCAUGCAACAUGGUAAGGCCAUAGACUACGCCUCCAGACAACUUAAACCCCAUGAGAAAAAUUAUCCUACUCAUGAUCUUGAGUUAACAGCUAUAGUUUUUGCCUUAAAGAUUUGGAGGCAUUAAUUGUACGGUGUUUAUGUAGAUAUGUUCAGAUAUUAUAAGAGCCUUCAGUAUGUUUCUUCUUACAAAGAUAUUAAUCUCUGUUAGAGAAGGUGGUUAGAGCUCUUGAAAGAUUAUGACAUGAGUAUCCUUUAUCAUCCGAGCAAGGCCAGUGUAGUGGCGACACCCUCAGUAGACUAUCUAUGGGUGGUAUUACUCAUGUUGAGGAUAGUAAAAAGAAGUUAGCUCAGAAAGUCCAUCAGCUUACCAGACUAGGUGUUCGCCUAGUCGAUUUAGUAGAAGGUAGUAUAUGGGUUUAGAAUAGUUCAAAAUCAUCUCUGGUUUCCAAGGUGAAAGGAAAAUAGGAUAGAGAUCCCAAUCAAAUCAAUUUAAAAGAAUCAGUGAAAGAUCAUAAAGUAGAGGUUUUCUCCCAAGGGGGAGAUAAUGCUUUGCGUUGUUAGGGUCGUCUUUGUGUGCCAGGUGUAAAUGAAUUGAGGCAGCGAAUUCUCGCAAAAGCGCAUGGUGCGUGCUACUCUAUUCAUCCAGGGGCCACUAAGAUAUACCAUAACUUAUGGGAGAUCUAUUAGUGGAGAGGGAUAAAGAGAUAUAUUGCAGAGAUUAUGGCUAAGUGCUCUAUAUAUCAGUAGGUUAAGAUAGAGCAUCAGAAGCCUAGUGGGUCCAUACAGGAGUUCAGUAUUCCUACUUGGAAGUGGGAAGAAGUGAACAUAGACUUUGUAUUGGGUGUGCCUCAUACUCAUCAUCAGCAUGAUUCAGUUUGGGUCAUUUUCUUCCAAUCAAUACCUUUUAUUCAGCUGAGGCUUACGCCAAUCUCUAUAUCAGGGAGUUGGUUAGAUUACAUAGUGUCCUAUAGUUAUUAUUUCAGAUAGAGGUACCCAGUUCACCUCACACUUCUGGAAAACAUUCAAAAAGGGUUUUAGUACCCAAGUUUAUCUCAGUACAACCUUUGAUUGAGUUUGCAUAUAACAACUGCUAUCAUUCCAAUAUUUGGAUGGCUCCAUUCGAAGCUCUCUACGGUAGGAGAUACAAAUCUCCAACGGUUGGUUUGAAGUUAGUAAGGCCUUAGUUAUAGGGCCUGACUUAGUAUUCGAUGCCUUAGAAAAAGUCCAGUUGAUCAGAGAAAGACUCUAGGCUUCUCAAAGCCGACAAAAGUCUUAUGUAGAUGUGCGUAGGAAGGAUCUUAAGUUCGAGAUUGGUGACUAUGUUUACCUAAAGAUCUCUCCCAUGAAGGGAGUGAAGAGAUUUGGCAAGAAGGGAAAGCUCAGUCCCCGAUAUAUCGGUCCCUUAAAAAUUCUCAAUUGUUUUGGCAAGGGAGCUUAUGAGUUUGAAUUGCCUUCAGAUCUAGCCUUAGUUCAUCAAGUGUUCUAUGUCUCUUUGCUUAAGAAGUGCAUAGGUGAUCCAUCAACUGUAGUCCCUAUAGAGGGCACUGAUUUUCAGAACAACCUCUCUUAUAAUGAGAUUCCAGUCGAAGUUCUUGACUACCAAACUCAUAGACUGAGGAACAAAGAAGUCCCUCUAGUCACAGUUCUUUGGCAAAAUCCGUCCGUUGAGAAAUCUACUUAGGAAGAAGAGGCAGAUAUAUGUACCAAGUAUCCUAACCACUUUUCUGCUAACUCAGACUCAGCCCAAGGUAAUAAUUUUCCUUAAGCUUCCUCAGUUAUCAAUUUUAGUUUCAUUACCAACUUGGUAUUCAAUUUCAUGCUUAGAAUUCUAUUAUAAACUUGGUAUCAAAUACUAUUGUAUAUUCAGUCAUGUGUUCAUGCAUCAUGUCAGUCAUGUAUUCAUACAUCAGAUAUACAUCCUCAUUAUGAGUAACUCAGCUUAUUAGAAAUCUUAUUCAUGCAUCCAUGAAUCAGUUACUCAUGCAUCAGAUAUGCAUGUUAAGUAUGAUAUAUUCAGUUUAUCAGUCAUGUUAGUCAUGAAAUCAUGUUUCAGUUAUUCAUGUCCUAUAUAUAUUUUAGUUUGUAUUUUCCCCAUCUUAGUCAGUCUCAUUCAAAGAUGAAUGUUCUCAAGGAGGAGAUAUUGUAAGACCCUGUAAAAUUGCUAAGCUAAAAUCAAACUUUUAUACUUGUCAAGGAGGGUCUCAUACUUAGAAAAUUCAAGAUAAGUUUCCAGAUUUAGUUUAUUUUUGGCCUUCGAAAGUUUUCAAUCUCAUUUUUCCACCUUAAUGUCCUUUAAUGGUCUAUAUUUUUGUUAAUUCAUGAUCAGAGAGGUCAAUAGGUGUUCCCAAACAAGUUUUAGAUUUUUCAAACCUCAUUUUAACCAUGUUUGCUAUCCCAAAAUAGUGGACCAAUGCGAUCUUGGCGUGCUACGUCGCCUAUCGCAUUGGGUAACAUUAUUGCUGGGACUUCCAGUCAAACUACUGAGGCUUAGUGCGAUCAUGGCGUGAUGCAUCGGGUAUCGCGUUGAUGUAUUGAUGCGCUGCAUCGCCAAUCGCAUCGAUGCCCAGUUUUCAUUCAUUAAAUGUCCGUAUUUUUAAGGGCAAAAGGGUUAAUUUUCCACUACUAUAUAAGCCUAUAACAUGAGAUUCAACGCUUAUUUCACCAAAAAAUUGUUGUUACUCUCAAAUACUCUCAAGAAAAAGUCUAGGGUUUCCAAAACAGUUUCAAAUUCAAGAGAUUCUACCAUUAGUUUCAAUAAUUUUCCAUCCAAGGUAUGUCAAGUGUUCAUUCAUGGAUACCUUUCAUCUAUAAAGCCCAAGAAUCCAAAUUUUAAAUUAUGAAUUGUGAUGUUUAUGUUGUGGAUUGAUUAUGUUCAUGUUGUUAUUGUUGUUGGAUUCCCAAGUUAGAGUCUUUAUGUAUGAAACUAUGCUAGUAUGUGGGUUGAAAUUUAUGAAAUUGAGUUGAAUUAGGGAAUCAUGUGGUAUUAAUUUGAUAUCAUGCCUAAGCCCAAAGUUAUGCAUACUAGGUAUUUGAUAAAAUGCCUAAGAAAAUAAUACUUGUGUAUUAUGACUAAAUAGAACCUAAAUUAUGAAUUCAUGUUAGCAUUAUGUUCAAAAUGACUCCCAUGCUAUUGUUAUGCCUUGUAAUAGAUUUAUGUAAUGCUCAUGAGAUUAGGCAUAGGGAAUUAUGACAUGUUUAUAUGCAUUCUUAUUCAUGUGUAAGCCUGUGGUAUACAAAUACUUCAUGAAAAUCCCCAAUGAUAGUACUCUGAAUUAUUAACCAUGGUUAUAUAUUCCAGAAGUGUCAUGUCUUGCCAGUUUCAUGCUAUCGAGUCCUGGGGUUACAUGUACCCGAUAACUUAGUUGUGUGCCUAGAGCUAGCAUCAGUUUUAUGAUAAAUCUCAGUCGUGCCAUGAUUAGUAGUACUCUCAGUUAGUUUCAGGACUCAGUAGAAUUCAGUCAGUUACAUGACUCAAAAAAACUCAUUAAUCUUAUUAAUCUCAGUAAUCUCAGUCAGUUAUCAGAUCUUAAUAGUAUUACAUCAGUUAAGGAACUUAAUAACUUAGUCCAGUUCAAUUCAGUUAAUCAUGUUCAGUGUCUAUUCAGAUGGGAGUUGGAUUCAGCACUGAGUGAGCCCAAGGAUGGGAACUCACCCAUUAGUAGAGGCUGUGAUUCUUAGAAGCAAUCCUUGUGCACCAAAACUACAUAGACAACAUAGGAUGAGACAUUAAAUUUUCUAUUUGAGGGUAGAUGAGGUGGCUUAACCUGUUAUUUGAGGGUCCCACCUUUCUCCUUAGAGUACCUGUUAGACGAGGGAUUUCUCAUAACUUGUCUUUACCAGUGGUGCGGUAUUGAUACCCUUCCAACUGGAGUUACAGGUUGGACCCCAAAUCUAUUUAGAAAAAGGGGCAUGUCAGUUAGAUGAAUUCUCCCACAGUUCCAGUUACUGAAUCAGGGCUAUUAGAUAUAGUCACCCAGUCUCAGUAAUAGAACUCAGAUAGUUCUACAGAACCCAGGACUGUCAGAUACAAUCACUCAGCUCAAUAUGGAACUCAGCUAGUUCCAUCAGAAACUAGACCGUCAGGCACAGUCACCCAGUAUAAGUUAUAUUAGUUAUAUCAAUUUUCACUAACUCGUGUUAUUAGUAUUUAGACACAGUAGUCAUUAUUACUCAUGAAUCCAGUCACAAUUACACACUUAUGUAUAUAUUCUUACAAUCAUGUUAUACAAUCAGUUAAUAUUGUUCAUGUAUAUGAACCCUUUGCAUUCAUCCUACCUCACUUAUAUACCAGUACAUUCAAUCUUAUUGACUCAUUUGUGCUAUGGUGUUUUUAUAACAUAGGUUCAGAAGUAUGAGCCCCAAAGCAUUAGUAGCAUUCCAGUUUUAGUAGUCAGAGUUAGCAAUACGUCUUCAUUAUUUGAGGAUGUUAUGAUUUGAUUAAUUCAUAUCUUUAGUACUUAGUGAUUUAAGUAGUUAGAGUUUGUUGGGGACAUGUCCCAUCAACUCCUUAUUCAGACAGUCUAGAGGCUUUAAACUAUAGCAUGUUCACAAUUAUUUCUGUUGUGUUGGCAAUGAUGUACCGUAUUUCUAGAUGUUAUGUUUUAUUAUAUAUUUGAAUCUUAUGGACUUUUAGCCUUUAAUCAUGCAUUUUUACAUCAUAUUAUGCAAUGAUUAGUUAUAGAUAUCAGUCAUGGGUUUGCUUGUGAUCCUUUGGGAUCAUGAGCACCGUGUUGAAUUAUGAGUACCAGAUUCGAGGUGUUAUAACACCUCUAUUAUUUUGACAUGUCAUGAAGUCUAGACUUCCACAAUACAUGACAUUUCAUAGAGGCUAGUCUCUAUGAUACAAGCCAUGUCAUGGAGGCUAGUCUCUGUGAUAGUCUCCGUGACACAGAGGCUGUAUUUUCCUGCAAUAUUAUUUAAAGCCCAAGGGGGAAUUUUGGUCUUUUCCUCCUUUCCCUAAUCAUCAAAAUCAUGAAUUAAAGUCAAGGAGGGAUAUUAUUUUUACCAUUCCUCAUUAGUUAACAACGUGAAAGCAUCCCUCAUCUGAAGAACACAAAAUUUCAAGCUUUUUUCCAAGAAUUAAAUCAUUCAAGGUCCAAAUUCCAAGUUCUCUGAAAGAAUUCAAGCAACAUAGGUAUUUGGGGUAGUCAUCAAUGGAUUCCUUCCACCCAUUGUGUCCCAAGAAUCCUUUGUAUUUGAUGUAUAAACCUUUUUCCCUCUUUUUUAUGAUAUUCCAAUUUAAGUAUGAAUUUACUGAAUAUUAUCUUAAUAUCUUUGAAUUCAAGCCAUGCCAAAAUGUUUUUCCAUGAUAAUUUCGUUAUUACGUGCUUUAAAUUCCAAUCACCUAUACCAUGUUCAGUUGAUACCAUGUUAACUUACAAAUUCAUGAAUUAAUCCAUGUAAGCAUGUUGUCCACAUAAGUUUAAAACACUCCCAUACUUAUAAUCAUAGAUUCCAUCAGUUAAUGAUAAAUUCUAUGCUUUGGGUCUCUGAAUCAUAAAUUUCCUUAUUGUGUUUUAAAUGAUGUUACUAUAUUUAAAGUAAUCAUUUAGUGUUGGAGAGUUAUAAACACCCAAUACCCAUACAUUCAUGCAUAUUUCAAAUUUUAAGUUAUGUGUUAUUCAGACCAUGUUUAUUUUAUUAUAUUCAGAUUAUAGAUGCACUAUUAUUUUUCAGAAUACCAUGUUUGAGAAAAUUAGUUAUCAGUACAUGUAUUAGUUUUUGUCUCUUAUUAUUUUAGUUGGAAGUAUAGCUUAGCACCGAGUGAAUGCAGGGAUUGUGGCUCCCCCAUCAGCUUAGGUAGAGUUGUUAGUAGUUGUCCCUAAGUUCAAGAACUAUGUAGCAAACGUAGGUUUAUGAGGGCUCACCCAUUAGUUUAGGCUUGACUUUCUCUUAGGGGACACCCAUCAGUUUAGGCUUGACACUCUGGUCCUUUGGGAUACCAACUUUAUGGAUCCAUACUAUCAGUGUCAGUACCUAUGGUAAGGUAUUGACUCCCUUCAAGCUGCGAUUAUAGGUUGGACCCCGAUUGACUUAGAUUGGGGCAUAUCAGUUAGAUGUUAGCUUCCACAGUCUAAGUUUAGCAUUCAGACCAUAUGAGCUCUGGUUUGCAUGACCAAGUGUUUAGUUUAUCAGUUAUUUAGUUUACAAAUUAUCUUAGUUUGCGUUUUACUUAGUCUUGAAUUCUUUUUACAUGAUCAUGCAUUUAUGCACAGUACCUAUAUGUAUUCCAGUUAGUCCUUAUCUCACAUACCAGUACAUUUAAAGUAUUGACCACAUACACUCUUUUGUGCUAUAUUUCCCCUCUUGCCCAAAUUAAAAUCCACAUCUUAUAAUCCUUUUAGGGUGUCACUAGCACUCAAAAACAAAUCAAGUAAAUUUUUAAAUACUUGAAAAAGAUCUGUGAAUUCCUUCAAGCAAGUUAAGCUAGGGUUUUUUCAAGUUGGUCAUCUAAAGGCUCAAGGGUCAAUAUCUUUCCAAAUUUCUUGGUUUUUAAGGCAUGUUAGUCUUAGCUUCAUUGUUAAUUUGUUAAAAUCAUAUGUUUAAAGUAUUGUUCAUGAGAUGUUUAUGUUGGUUUAGAAACAAGGGUUGAGGAUUUUGAAUUUUUAUAAAUUGAAUAGUGUUUCUCAUAGCUUACAUAUGAUUUUAAUGCUUAAAUUAAGGUUUUGAACUUGUGGGUGCAUGGGUAUGGUUAUUGAUCUAAGGAAUUGUGAUUUUACCAAACUUGUGGCUUUUGAAGUGGUUAUAACCCCAACCCCAUAGUGCAAAACUAGAUUUAAUUAUGAGAAAUAUGGAAAUUUAUAAAAUUUAACUAUUCUUGAACUAUUUCAUGAUAUAAAAAGGUAAUGGAAACAUAAUGGUCUGAUUUAAUGAACAAAUAAAGUCGGUUCUCCCCCAACUUUUAUUAUUGAUCAAAGGGAGUUGUUUUUCCUAAGUUAAUGAAGAUUGUUCGAUAUGUUGUUAUUACCUUGCAAGUGUAGUUGGUAUGAUGAUACCAAUAAUGUAUGACUUAAUAUGAAAGAUUGUUCAACAAAUGGCAAUGUGUCAUACUUAUUUUAAUUUGGACUUAAUAAGGGUUAUGUAGAUGAGUCAUUAAAGUGAAGGUUCGAGUUAUCGAUACUGGAAAUCGUAUUUGCCAAUGCGAGGGUCAAAGUGUCCAGGGAGGCCACUAAUUAUUAUUUCAUGAUUAGGAAGGUUCAAAUCCCCUUCAAGUCAUUAAAUGAUUGGGUGCCUAAGUCAACUUAGUAUAUGGUUGGGAGGUCCAUGUCCCCCAUACAUAUAUAUGAGAUUAUUCUCCAAUUCAUGCACUUACAUGCAUUGAGGCCCAACCAGAGGGUUAGAACUGAGGACCAUAUAGCCCAUGGGUACAUGUUAUAAUAGUUAUGCUAUACAAUCCAAGAUAAAGUUUUAAAUUGCAUGAUAAACCUUGUUCCUUAUCACGCCAUGUGAUAUAUACAUAUAUGCUUAUGUAUAUUUACUUUGAAUGAUUUUGAACUACUGAUCAUGUCAUUAUGUAAUAUUUAUCUUAGAGUUACAUACUAGUUCUCACCUCGUUAACCGUCUUUGAACGCUGUAUCCCCAUGCAAUGCAGGAAUUUGCUAUAAUUUACUUCUCUUGUUAGUGAUUAGGAUUUGGGCUCAGCUCACGAGUUUACAUUAAAGUGGUGAGCUUCCAUACAUAAAAAGUCUAUAUUUCAUGUUUUGGUCUCUUAUGUCUCAAACUAUUUCAACUUAUUUUGGAUAUAAUCGAGGGCAUGUCCUAACACUUUAUUAAAAUUCAAUUUUGGUUCUUUGUUUAGAAGACUUUGUUUGGACUACUAUGGUUAUUGCGUUGUGUCAGUUAAUUGUUUGGCCAGUAAUUGAUUGAUGAUUAUGGACUUGUUUUGAAUUUUCUUAAGAUUGUUGCAUGCUAUCUUCAUAUAUAUUUGGAAUUUAUCUGACAUUGGGUGUGUUGUGAUUUUUUUGGUUAGGUUUAGGUGGAGAUCUCCGGUCCACGCAAGACUUGAGAUACCUAUCACAGCCCGACCCUAGUAAGGGUCAUGACAAAGAUGGUAUCUGAGCCUAGGUUUGGUGUCAUUGGAUGUCCAAAAAAGCUGUGUCUAGUAGAGACUCAUUUUUGGCUUUGUAGCAUCCACACUUAUAAGGGAGAGCCUACGAAGCAUUUAGGAAUAUUUUAUUUUUUUAUUAUUAUAUUUGAAGCUAUAUAGUCUAAGGUCUUGAAUCUUCUAUAAUUCCUACCUAUUUAAUUUUUAGAUCAUGCCUCCCAUAAGAUCUGAUGCUCGUAGAAAGUCUUCCAUCCAAUCUAAGGACAAUGUGGAUGGAGCUUAUACAACUCUAAGAGUUCAGAUACGGUCUAGGGUCGCUAUUUCUUAUUUCCCUGAAGUAUCUCCACUGAUUCCCCUUCCUUUCUUAAACACCUCUAGGUGAUGUAUCUAAUGCUGAGUUUUGCCAGUCGAUUCAUUUUCUCACCAAUUGGUGACCUCCCAUACUUAUCUGGUUUCUUCUAUUACUACAUCAUCUGAGGCCACUAGGGUUGGCUAAUUUAUGAGGUUAUGCCCUCCUAUUUUCAAUAGUUCUAAAGUUGAGAAAGAUCGUCAAAAUUUUAUUGAUAAGAUGGAAAAGAUAUUUCAUAUGAUGCAUUCUACUAAUGUGAAGGGUGUAGAGUUGUAGCUUAUUAGUUGAAGGGUGUGGCAUUCUAAUGGUAUAAGGAGUGGGACAAGUCUAGGAGUAAUGAUGAUGAGUCUUCUUUAUAGGAUGAUUUUUAUAGUGCUUUUCUUAAGAGCUUUGUUCCUUAGGAGUUGAGAGAGUCGAAGGCUGAGGAUUUUAUGAACUUAAAGCAAGGAAGGAUGACUGUUAAGGAGUAUGCAUUGAAGUUUCAUCAACUAUCGCACUAUGCUCCUAAAUUAGUGUAUAGCAUAAGGUCUAGAAUAAGGAAAUUUACCUCUUGGUUGUCCCAUAAGUUGAUCUGGGAUAGCAAGGCUACCUUGUUGUAUAAAGAUAUGGACAUAUCUUGACUUAUGGUGUAUAUGCAAUAAGUUGAGGAAGAAAAGAAGAAGCAAGUGGAGAUGAGUGAAAGGUAGAGUAAGAAAUUCACUAUUUAAAUAAGGGUGGAGAUCAGCAACACAGUGGUAGAGAUAGUGGGAAGUGGUCUAAGAAGAACUGGGGCAAUUUUGGUUCCUACUCUAUUACUAGUGCUCCUUAUCCAAAUCCAUUAUGUGAUUAUCGUUCUCCAUAGAAUGAUACAUUUAGAGCACUAGGAACCCAGUCGUAGGUUAGCGGGGAUCAGCUAUCUCCAUCAUAUCCUCCUUAUAUAUUUUAUGGUCAGAUGCAUCAUGGUUUUUAUGAGAAAAGAAGGAAUAAUUUCUUUAAAUAUGGUCAGACUGGUCAUCUACAUAGGGAUUGUCCAUCUAAGUUUUCUCUGGGGAAAAUAUGAAUCCUGUUACUGAUUUAUCCACUCCUAUACUAAAGGGUGCUAAUUCUACUUCUUGCUCUGGCAUUGGUCAGAACCAUCUCUAUGCUCUUUCCACUCACUAGGAUUCUAAGGCAUCCCCUAAUAUUGUUACUGGUAUGCUUAAACUCUUUUCUCAUGAUGUAUACUAUCUGCUUGAUCUUGGGUCUACUCUCUCACGUGACUUAUUAUAUGGCUAUUUAUUUUGGCAUUGAUCUUGAGUGAAUUCCAGAUUCUUUUUCUAUUUUCACCCUGGUGGGUGACUCUAUUAUGGAUAAAAGGGUCUAUUGGGGUUAUAUGAUAUUGGUCUAUGGUAGAGAGACCUUGGUGGAUCAGAUAUAGUUAGACAUGUUAGACUUUGAUAUGAUUUUAGGGAUGGAUUGGUUGUAUUUGUGCUAUGCUUCUCUUGACUAUCGGACCUAAAGAGUCAGUUUCCAUUUCCUAAACAAGUCGAUAAUCAAAUAGAAAGGUAGUACCUAGUGCCUAAUAAAAGGUUCAUUUAUAUCUUAGAUCCUCGAAAUUAUUUUCCAAAGGGUGCCUUUAUCAGGAAUAUUAAGGAUUCUAAAGAUAAAGGUCCUUCUUUGCAGACUGUCCUUAUGGUUUGUGAAUUUCCCAAGGUAUUUCCUGAAGAUCUUCUUGGUGUGCCUCCCAAUAGGGAAAUUGAUUUUGGGAUUGAUCUUCUGUUGGAUACUCGUCCUAUUUCUAACCCCCUUAUAGGACGACUGUAAAUGAGUUGAAAGAACUUAAGGAGCAAUUGAAAGAUCUUCUUGAUAAGGGUUUUAUCUACCAUUGUGUGUCUCCAGAUGGUGAUCUAAUUUAUUUUAUGGGUAAAAAGGAUGGUUCCCUUAGAAUGUGUAUUGGUUACCACUUAUUAAAUAAAAUAACCAUAAAGAAUAAGUAUCCAUUUUUGAGAAUUAAUGAUUUUUUUGAUCAGCUUCCGGAUGCUAAGUUGUUUUCCUAAAUUGAUCUUCGCUCUGGGUACCAUCAGUUGAAGAUUAGGGUGGUGGAUAUCAAGACUGACUUUCAAAUGUGGUAUUGUCUUUUGAGUUUUUGGUGAUGUCCUUUGGUUUGACCAAUGCCCCGACCAUAUUUAUGGAUCUUAUUAAUUGAUUUUCUGUUAGUUCUUCGAUUUUUUCAGGAUUGUCCUUAAUGUUGAUGUUUUGGUGUAUUCGAGGAGUGAGGCAGAUCAUGUCGAUCACCUUUAUCUUGUGUUUCACGCCUUAAAAGAUCAAUAUUUGUAUGCAAAGUUUUCUAAGUGUGAGUUUUUCUUGAAUGCUGUGACUUAUUUGAGUAAUGUUGUUUUUGGCGAAGGGAUCAUGGUGGAUCAAUAUAAGUUUAGGGUGGUUAAGAAUCGGCCUAGACCCACGACUGUAUUUAAUAUUUGGAGCUUCUUGGGUUUAGCCAGUUACAAUAGAAGGGUUGUGGAGAGUUUCUCUUCUAUUGCUGCCCCAUUGACUAAGUUAACUAAAAAGAAGGUGGAAUUCUUGUGGUCUUAUGCUUGUGAAGAUAGUUUCAAGAAGCCAAAGGACAAGUUGACUUUAGCUUCGGGCUUGAAUCUUUCUAAAGGCACUGAUGGUUUUGUUGUCUAUUAUGAUGUGUCUUUAGUAGGAUAGGGUUGUGUGUUGGUAUAGCAUAGCAAGUUCGUUGCUUUUGCCUCUAGAUAGUAUAAAGUUCAUGAGAAGAAUUACUCGACUUGUGUUUUGGAAUUUUUAGCCGUGAUGUUUGCAUUAAAUCUUUAGCGACAUUAUUUUUAUGGGGUCCAUAUUUAUAUUUAUCCUGAGCGUAAGAUCCUGCAAUACUUAUUCACCUAGAAUGAAUUAAUUCUCAGGAAAAAGAGGUGGCUUGAUUUGCUAAAAGACUUUUUCAUGAGUCUCCACUAUCAUCCAGGCAUAGCUAACAUGGUUGUUGAUACUCUUAGUAGGUGUACAUGGGAAUCUUGUCUUAUGUGGAUGAGGAGAAAUGGGAUUUCGUGAAGGAUAUUCACCAUUUGGCUAAUGUUAGGGUUCAGCUCUUGGAUUUCGAGGAUGGUGGUAUGAUUGUUCUAGAGGUGGAGCGGUUAUCUCUUGGUACUGAAGUAAAGGAGAAGCAAGUGUUGGAUCCUAUUUUGAUGCAAAUUAAGAAUGAUAUUGGUAGAUAAAAAGUGAUGGUGUUCAAAAUUGGUGUUGAUAGUAUCUUGAGGUACUAAGGAAGACUGUGUGUUCUCGAUGUUGAUGGGUUACAAGGAAGAAUUCUGGAUAAAGCUCAUGAGUCGCAUUAUAUUGUUUAUCCUAGUUCAAAAAAGAUGUAUUAUGAUCUUAGAGAGAUAUAUUAGUAGAUUAAUAUAAAGCGGGAUGUGGCUAAUUUGAUGGCUAAGUGCAUGGUGUGUCUGUAAGUGAAGGUAGAACACUUGAGGCCCGGUGGGUAGACUUAAGAGAUUGAACUAUUGGUGUGGAAAUGAGAGAUAAUUAAUAUGGAUUUGUUAUCGAUCUUCUACAGUCUCUCCAAUAACUUGAUUAGAUUUUGGUCAUCAUGGAUACGAUGACUAAGUUUUCUCACUUCUUGCCAGUGAGGACUAAUUUCUCUUCUGAGGAUUAUGCCAAGUUGUUCAUUGAGGAGAUCAUGAAGUUGCAUUGAACUCCAAUUUCCAUCAUAUAUGAUUGGGGUACUUAGUUGUCAUCUAACUUUUUGAGGUUGUUCCAGCGAGGUUUGGGGACUAAGGUUAGCCUUAAUACAACUUUCCACUCGCAGACGGAUGGGCAAGUGGAAAGGAUAAUUCAGGUCUUGGAAUACAUGGUUCAGGCUUAUAUGUUUGACUUUGGUGGUAGUUGGGUUGACCACCCAUCUCUCAUAGAAUUUUCCUACAAUAGCAGUUAUCACUCCAGUAUUGGUAUCGCUCUGUUUAAGGCCUUAUUAUGUAGGAGAUGUAGAUCUCCUAUUGGGUGGUUUGAGGUCGGUGAAAAUAAGUUGUUUGAUCCUGAUUUGGUUCACCAAGCCCUGGAGAAGGUAAAGGUGAUUCAUGAUAGACUUAAAGACAUCCAGAGUCGCCAAAAGUCGUAUGCCAGUAUAAGGCAAAGGGAGUUGGAGUUCUGUAUUGGUGAUUGCGUGUUCUUGAACGUGUCUCUCAUGAAGGGAGUGAUGAAUUUUGAUAAAAAAUGAAAAACCUGUCCCCGUUAUAUCAGUCUGUAUUUGGUUUUAUAGAGGGUUGGUAAUGUUGCUUAUGAAUUGGAGUUUCCCUCUAAUUUGAGAUCCAUUCAUCCGGUAUUUCAUGUUUCGAUGUUAAGGAAGUGCGUAGGUGAUCCUUUGACUAUUGUUUCUUUGGAAGAGGUGGAUAUUUUUUAUUUUUUGUCCUAUGAAGAAGUCUCGGUUGAGAGUUUUGAUUGGCAAGUCCGUCAGUUGCGGACCAAGGAUAUAGCUUUGAGAAAGGUUCUUUAGAGGAACCAAAAGGUGGGGAAGCUACAUGGGAAGCUGAAGUGGACAUGAAGUCUAUGUACCCGUUCUUCUUUCCUGUUCCAGAUAAUCAUGCUUAAGGUAUAUGUAUUCCUUAACAUCUUUGUUUAUUGACUUUGUUAAAGAAAAUUGUAAUUUUCUUGGCAUAUUUGUUUUUUUGUCUUUGUUAAAGGUAAGUCUAGUGGUAUGUGGAGUCCAAUCAUGCAAAUAAAUGUCUUGUCCUAUCAUUCAAGGAUGAAUGAUCCUAUGGGAGGGGGGGAGUAUGUAACGUUCCAGGUUUUUGUUCUUUCAAAAUUUUUUGAGUUGAGCUUUCUACUCUGGCAAUGACUCAUCUAACGAGUCGCAAUUUGUCUUAACGGGUCAGGUGACCAUAUUCGUAAGGUUCUAGUGAAUGGUGUCUGAGUUCCAAUAUUGGGUACGACUUGAGGGUACUAGUUGAAAACACUCAUGACGAGUCAUUAGGAUGUAAUCAUAACUAAAUUAGAAAUUAAGUGGCUAAGUUCUUCUUUGAGUAUAAGUGUCUCACCCUUAACAAUAAAGGCUUGUUACGAGUUAUUGGGUGCAAAUCGUAGGAUGUCUAGUGUUUACCCAAUUGGGUUUUGUGUUGACUAUGAGUCUACCCUAUGAGUCCUAGGGUCUUAUUACGAGUAGUACCAGUUGAUUUGUAGGGUCAAUAGUAUGUGGGGGUCCUAGAGACUGUCUUGAUUAAGACUCAUGGUGACGAGUUGUAAGGAGUGACUAUGAAUCACUAGUUAACCCACAAUCAAUGGCGGCACAUUUUCAAAUUUUAAGUUAAGGUUAUUUUAGAUAUUUCCCCUCUUACCGAAAUUAAAAUCCACAUCUUAUAAUCCCUUUAGGGCGUUAUUAGCAUUCAGAAAUAAAUCAAGUAACUUCUCAAACACUCCAAAAGGUUCUCUGAAUUCCAUCAAGCAAAUUAAGUUAGGGUUUCCUCAAGUUGGUUAUCUAAAGGCUCAAAUGUUGAUUUCUCUCCAAAUUCUUAGUGUUUAAGGCAUAUUAUUCUUCCAUCAUUGUUAAUUUGUUAAAAGCAUGUGUUUAAAGUAUUGUUCAUGAGAUGUUUAUGUCAUUUUAAAACAAGGGUUGAGGAUUUUGAAUGUUUAUGAAUUAAAUGGUGUUUCUCAUGAUUUACAUAUGAUUUUCCAUGCUUAAAAUAUGGUUUGAAACUUAUGAUUACAUGGGUAUGAUGAAUGAACUAUGGAAUUGUGAUAUUAUCAAACUUGUGACUUUUGAAGUGGUUAUGACCCCCAACCCAUAAUGUGAAACUUGUUUUAAGUAUGAGAAAUGUGGGAAUUUAUAAAAUUGAACUAGUCUUAAACUAUUGCAUGAUAUAAAAAGGUAUUGGAAACACAAUGGUAUGAUUUAAUUAACAACUAGAGUUGGUGCUCCCCACCUUGUAUUAUGAACAAAAGGAGUUAUUUUCCCCAAGUUAAUUUAAAUUGUUUUGGCAUGUUGUUAUUACCUUACAGGUGUAGUUGUAUGUCGAUAGCAACAAUGUAUGACUCAAUGUGAAAGAUGGUUCAACAAAAGAGAAUGUGUAAUACUUGAUUUAAUUAGGCCUUAAUAAGGGUUGUGUUGCUGAGUUGUGAAUGUGAAGGUCUAAGUGAACAAUACUGGAAAUCGCAUUUGCUGACAUUGGGGUCAAAGUGACCAAGUAGGUUAGAGUCCCUUUUAUUAUUAUUUCAUGAUUAGAGAGGUUCAAGUCCCCUGCAAGUCAUUAUAUGAUUGGGUGCUUAAGUUACCUUAGUAUAUGGUUGAGAGAUUGAGUUCUCCAUGCAUAUAUAUGAGAUUAUUCUCUGGUUCAUGCGGCUCUAUGCACUGGGGCCCAUAUAGCCCGUGGGUACAUGUUAUAAUGGUUGAGCUACACAAUCCAGGAUAAAGUUGUAAAGUGCAUGAUAAGCCUUGUUCCCUAUCCCGACAUGUGAUACAUAUAUAUAUGCUUAUAUAUUUGAAUAUGUGCAUUGGUUUUUAAUGAUUUUGAGUUGUUGAUCAUGUCAUUAUGUUAUAUUUAUCCCCGAGUAAAAUGCUAGCGUUCAGCCCGCUAAACGUCUUCGAACGUUGUAAACCCAUACGAUGUAGGAAUUGGCCAUACUUUUACUUAUCCUGCUCAGUGAUUAGGAUUCGUGAUCAACUCGCGAGUUGACAUUGAGGUGGUGAGCUUUCAUACAUCAGAAGUCUACAUUUCAUGAUUUGAACUCUUAUGUCUCAGGCUUUUUAGACUUGUUUUAGCUAUAGUCGAGGGCAUGUCCCGACACUUUAUUGUUAUUUAGUUUUGGUUCUUUGUGUAUAAGGCAUUUUUUACACUACUUUUGUUAUUGGGUGGUGUCGAUCAUUUGUUUGGCCAGUUGUCGGUUGACGGUUAUCGUCGGUCAGCGGUUAUAGACUUUUUUUAAAGUUUCUUAAGAUUGUUUCAUGCUAUCUUGUUAUGCGUUAGGAAUUCAUCCGAAAUUAGGUUUUGUUUGUUUUGAGGUAAUAUUAAGAAACUUUGUCACUAGAUGGAGAUGAUGGGUUAAAUAUUGAGAGCUGAGAAUUAUUGAUUAUACUAGUGACUACGCCAUUACUUAUGAUAUUUAAUAUAUAAUUGUCAGCUCAUGUUCGGAUAUUGAUUAUAAUUAUGAUGAUAUACUUAUCGGUUCAAGUCCAAACAUUUAUUAUGAUAGGAUGUUAUUAUUAUCGGUUUGAGUUCUGAUAUUGAUGAUGGCAUUGAUGAUAUUAUUACCAAUUUGAGUCCGACUAUGGAGUACGUUAUUGAUGAUAUAUUUAUUGGUUCAAGUCUUGGUACUACUUAUGAUAUUGAUUAUAUAAUACCAAUUCAAGGCUGGAAAAUGAGUAUGAUAUAUGGGAAAUGUGGAUAUUAGUUUAAGUUUGGAAAUGAAAAAUUGUUGUAAUGUGGCAUAAUGUGGAUAGAUUUUGGUUGUACUCAGUUGCCCGAUGAUGACUACUGAGUAGUCAUAUUACAUUUUUGUACCUUUUUGGUGCUCCACCAUUAAUUCAAGGAUCAUGUUGUGUUAGAUUUCGGAGAUAGGGUGAGCUUUUAGAGUUAGAGUUGGCCCAUUUCCUUCCAUCUUAAUUAUGUCUAGUCUCUAGUUUUGAGACAGAAUGUAUUGACUAUUUUAGACUUGGGUUAUAUUUAUAGUAUCUUUUAUACUGGCUCUACCAGGUCGUGGGAUGAUUUCCUAUAUUAUGGCUACCUUUAAGCUGUUUCUUUUGUAUUGCGUACUUAUGUAUUGAAUUGCCUAUUUGGCCCUUUUUGGGGCAUUUCUACCAAGUUAUCCAAUAGAGAAUAGCUCCAGGCAAAGGUUUGUCUUACCUACUAGCAGGAUUGAGUAGGGGAUAUCAUGACUUAUUAAUUGAAUUGUGAAAACUUGGUAUUAAAUCCUAGAUUGAACCGAUAUUGUUGUACUAGAGGAAGUGUCUUUUAGAGUUCUAUAGAUCAAAAUGAUGAUACACAUUCCUAUCUUUGGGAGGCUAAAAUACAUUCUUAUGAGUUUUUCAUUUUUUUCACUUAUUUUAUACAAAGUGUCUAAGUUGGCUUGUAAAGCAUUAAUUUGACUUCACUCUUUUACAAAUGGCUAGAUGCAUGCUACCGCUACUCGAUACAAGGGUCUUAAAAUUGAGCCUAAAGAUCCUGUUGUUGUUCAUGGAUGAGCUAGAAAUUAUGGAUACCCUUGAGAUGUGUCCUAGUUAGCGGUCAGGCUAUGAGGCCUCCACCAGACCCUAUUCCCACUCUUUAGCCAGAGAUUCUUUUGCUUUAGCCAGCAAUAGUCCAGGAAACAGAAUAGGCUCCACCAGGGUUUAUUUAUUCUUCAGUGCUCAAAGAUACUUUGGUUCAACUUUUAGUGUUGGUUGGUGGUGCGCCAUUUGAUUGUGCACAGUCUACAAAUUAGAGUGGUCAUGAGGCUCCAAAAGUUGAGGUUCCUCCUGCCAUAGUAGUUGCUCAACUAGUAGUUUCCCAGCCUGCUAUGUCUUCUAAGAAACAAAAGAAGUUGGUUAGAUUUUGAUAUUGACUCCGCCUAGGUUUUUUGAUGCACCGGGCAAGGAUGGAUAUGAGUUUCUUAUUGCUUGUAAGGAUAGGCUCUGUAAUUUAGGCCUAGUAGACACUCGUUGAUUGGAUUACACUACCUUUAUAUCGGACUUGGAACCUGGCAUUGGUGGAGAGGUUAUUUUGAUUCCAGGCCAGCUGGAUUUUCUUCUUUGACAUGGGCAUAGUUCUUUGAGAUUUUCUUAGAAAAGUACAUGCCUAGCAGCCUUAGAGAUAGUUUGACGGGUCAAUUAUUAAGAUUGGAGUAGGUCUCUAUGAUGGUUUUAGAGUACGAGUCUCAUUUUUAUGAGUUCGAAAGGCUUUCUAUUCUAUUUUUGAUACUGAGUAUGAGAGAGUUUGUUGCUUUGUUAGAGGUUGAGACUUCCUCCGAAUAUCUGCUUAGAGUUUGGUUAUUAUGGGUAAGUUUUUUGCUGAGGUUUCUAAUUAUGCUUAGGUGAUGGAAGAGAUGCAUCAUAAAGACCAAGGGGGUAGCGAUAAGAGUCCUAGAUAUCAGGGUAGUUUCAGAGCGAGUCGUAGUAGCUCCCAUUUUAGAGGUAUUGGUUUUCAAGGUUGGUAACUUUCGCAUCAUCCAUAUCAUCCCAGAGUCAACCUAGUAGACCAUUCAGGAAGCACUUCUUAUUACUAAUGAAGGUCAAUCUUCUGUUAGUGAUCUCAAUUGUCAGAGUAAUGGUCAGCUUUUAAUGGGUUUAUCUUUUGGUUAUUCUAGUCGAGGUGGCUACUCCGGGUCAGCCAGAUCUUCUAGCACUGGUCCAACAACGAUGACUUCUUAUAGUUGUGGAGCUUUUUGUCAUUAUUUGAGAGUGUGCCCUAGUAUUAGGGUAAUUAUAGUUUUAGCUCAUAGUAUUUCCCUGAUAUAACAGUUCAUCCCUUAGCUAAAGGUGGUUUACAUAGUCAUAGGAGUGGGCCCCAAUAUGCUCGAGGUGGUUCUCAGGCAGGUAGGAUAGGAUAUCAGUUAGGAGCCUAGCCAGGUGGCCGUCGUGGUGUGUUGUAUGUAGUACCAACAAGACCUAAGGCUGAGUCUUCAGAUACUAUUAUCACAAGUAUGAUUUUUGUAUGUUGUCAAUUGGCCUUUUCUUUAUUUGACCCAAGAUCCAUAUAUUUUAUGUUUCUACUUAUUUUGCUCCAUGGCUAGAGUUAUCUUGGGAUUUAUUAUCCACGCUCUUAUGUGUAUAUACUCCCGCGGUUGAUUCUUUAGUAGUGGAUGGGGUGUUCAGAUCCUCUGUUAUGACUAUUAGAGUUAUUGAUACUCAUGAUGAUCUAAUUAUUCUGGAUAUGGUGGAUUUUGAUGUGAUUCGAGGCAUGGACUCUUUAUUCCACUAUCAUGCGGUGAUGGAUUAUUUUUCCAAGACCAUUACCUUACCCAUGCUCGGCAUACCCCUAGUUGUAUGACAGGGAGUUAUUAGCUGUGAGACAACAGGGAUUAUUUCUUAUAUGUGUGCUAGGAGACUUAUUUUGAGGGAUUGUGAGUCUUAUCUCUCUAAUAUUUAAGAUGUUAGUGUGGAGAGUCCAUUGCUUGACUCUGUUCUUGUAGUUUGUGAGUUUUCUAAUAUUUUCCCCAGCGAUCUGCCUUAUAUUCCUCCUGCCCGCGAGAUUGAUUUUGUUAUUAAUCUUAAGCCUGGCACUCAACCUAUUUUUAUGGCACCUUAAUGUAAGUUCCUAUCGAGCUUAAGAAGCUAAAUUCUCAGUUUCAGGAUAUUCUUAGUAUGGUCUUUAUUAGAUAGAGUAUGUUUCCUUGGGGAGCCCCAAUGUUGUAUGUAAAGAAGAAUGAUGUCACCAUGUAUAUGUGUAUUGAUUAUAGGAAGCUAAAUAAGGUGACAGUUAAGAAGCAUUAUCCUAUGCCUUGCAUUGAUGAUUUUUUCUACCAACUUUAGGGUGCAGUGGUGAUUUUUAAGAUUGAUUUGAGAUCUAGUUACCAUCAGUUCAGGAUUGGAGCCGAGGAUUUCUCAAAGAUAGCCUUUAGGACCUGUUAUGGUCAUUAGGAGUUCUUGGUGAUGUCCUUUGGGUUAACUAAUGCCCUAGCCGUAUUUAUAGAUUUAAUGAACCGAGUAUUCAAGCCUUAUGUGGAUUCCUUUGUGAUUGUGUUCAUCAUUGACAUCCUUGUGUAUGUGGUGUCUAUAGAUGGGAUUAUGGUAGACCCGAUGAAGAUAAAACCAUUCGUGUUUGGGCUAGGCCUACAUAUCCGACUGAGGUUCAUAGCUUAAUUGGAUUGACUGGUUAUUACAGAUGAUUUGUUAAGGGUUUUGCUACCAUUUUAGCACCGAUGAAUAGGCUUUUCUACCAUUUUAGCAUCGAUGAACAUAUUGACUCGAAAGGAGGUUCCUUUCUGAUGGUCCAAGGAGUGUGAGUCGAGCUUGGGUAAGCUUAAUGAGUUUCGUACUUCUACUCCUAUUUUGUCUCUUCCGUGUUUUUGGCAUUGUCUUGGGUUAUGUAUUGAUGCAGCAGGGUCGUGUUAUUACGUAUGCUUCUAGGAAGCUUAAGGUGCACAAGCGAAACUACCCCACUUAUGAUUUGGAGGCAUUAUCCUUAUGGUGUACAUUGUGAUAUUUUCACAGAUCAUCGUAUCCUUCAGCAUCUUAUGACCCAGAGGGAGCUUAAUGUUAGGUAGCAAAGAUGGAUGGAGUUUCUUAAAGAUUAUUAUAUCUAUAUCUUGUAUCAUCAAGGCAAGAUGAAUGUUGUAGCAGAUUUCUAAGUGGGAAGGUGGUGAGUAUGGGUAGUUAGGCUUGUAUUUCAGUUUCAUAGAGGCCGUUGGCAUAGGAGAUUCAGUCCUUAGACAAUUUAAUAGUGUGACUUGAUAUUUCAGACCCUCAAAGGGUUCUUGCUAGUGUUGAGGCGAGGUCUUCACUCAAUGAGAAGAUUUAGGAUUGCCUGUUUAAGGAUAACAGGCUUUGCAUCCUCUGUGAUCAGGUAUGGAGUAGUGAGUCCAAGAGGGCUAUCAUAGAUUAUGAGGGUGUUCUGAGAUUUGAUAGCCGCAUUUAUGUUCCAAGAGUUGAUGACUUGAUUUAGUUGAUUUUGCAUAAAACUUACAACUCUAAACAAUCCAUACAUCUAGGUACAACUAAGAUGUGUGGAGAUUUGAGACAAUAUUAUAGGUUGAGUGGCAUGAAGAGAUAUAUAGCAAACUUUAGAGCACGUUGCCUGCGCUGUUAGCAGGUAAGGGCUGAGAAUGAGCGACCAAGUGGUUUGAUUUAGAGAUUGCCCAUUCUCGAGUGGAAAUUUAAGUGGAUUACCAUGGAUUUUAUCAGUGGUCUACAUCGCACUUCCUGUGGUUUUGAUAGUAUUUGGGCCAUCGUACAUCAGUUGACCAUGUCUGCAUAUUUCAUUCAUAUCUAGAUGUCCUUCAGUGCUGAGAGUUUAGCUCAUAUUUUUGUGCAUGAGAUAGUCCAUUUGCAUGAUGUUCUUAUAUCUAUUAUUCAACAUUGAAGUUUUUUGUUCACUUCCAGAUUUUGGAGACAUUUUCAGGAGGAGUUGGGUACUCAGGUGGAUCUUUAUAAAGCCUUUCAUCUAUAGAUAGAUGCCUAGUUCGAGUAGACUAUUCAGGUUCUCAAGGAUAUACUUUGGGCCUGUGGUAUGGUUUUCGGAGGUCAAUGGGAGACGCACUUAGCGUAGGAGUUUGCAUAUAUUAAUAGUAAAUCAAGAAUUGAGAUGGAGCCUUUUGAGGCUUUUUAUGGUAGGCCAUGUCGUUCCCCAAUUGGAUGGUUCAAUACUUUUGAGAUUAGACACUGCAGGACUGACUUGCUUCAGGAGUUGUUGGACAUAGUUAGGAUGACUUAGGAUAGGUUAAGAGUGGCUCAAAGUAGCAAGAAGUCCUAUGCAGACCGUAGGCUUCAUGACUUGAGAUUUGGAGUUGAUGAUCGGUUAUUCCUCCAUAUGUUGCCCAAAAAAGGUGUCAUGAUAUUCCGGAAGAAAGGCAAGCUUAGCCCCUAAAUAUAUUGGACCAUUUAAGAUUCUUCACACAGUUGGUGAGGUGGCUUUGUGUUAGCCUUACCCCCAGAAUUUGCUGCUGUCUAUCUAGUUUUCCAUAUUUUUAUGUUGCAGCGAUACAUUCUUGAUCAUUGUCAAGUGCUUAGAUGGGACACAGUCUAGUUUGAUGAGCGACUUACCUUCGUGGAGUACCUUGUGGUUAUUUUGGCUAGUGAUGUCAUGCAGUUGUGCACUAGGGAGAUUCUUAUAAUUAAGGUUUAGUAGAGGUACCAUCCAUUAGAGGAGGCUACUUGGGAGAUCGAGAGUGAGAUGCAGACCUAGUAUCCUCACCUAUGCAGGACUUGAGGUAUAUCCUAAUCCUUGACUUUUGCGGAUAAAAGUCCCUUUAGUAGUGUAGAUUGUAAUGACCCUUUAGGUCAUUUUCCAUAAUUCUGCUUAGUUUUGCUUUUAGAGAUUUUCCAUAGCUACCCAAGGUCAUUUAUGAAUUGCUGGGGAUAAUUUGGUUAUCAGAAAGUUCAUUUUAUUUGUAGAGCUAAUUCCCUAUUUUUGAAGUCUCCACUGGUUCAAAUUGGCUACUGGAUGAAAACAUCAGUAAAAAAACCUCAUAUGCCAAUUCUAAAUGUUCCAACAGCCCCAGAAUAUCAAUUUUAGGCUAGAAGGACUCUUGGUUCGAGUCUCGAAGCACCUGGGCUCAUUUUGAUCUAUUGGUAAAAAAUUAAAAAAAUGAAAUAUAGGUGUGAGACCCACUUUUAGUCAAAACAACCUCAAAUGUAAAUUGUGACUGCACCAUUAAGCAUCAAACGUUGAAUUUGGUAUGGUAGCAUAGUCCAUUUGCGUAUAUGAGAAAUUGGAUGAAUCACGAGGGGUUUUCGGAGACUUGGAAAAUUCCAGGUCUCAAUUAUAUCUGGUGCAAUAACCAAUAGCGAACCUUGGAUCGCUAAUAGCGAUCUGAAAGCACCAAUAAGUUUCUGCGUCAUGAUAUGUUUAGUUGAGAAAGAGACUUCCUAGGAAGUUGACCAGCAUCGCUAUUGCCAUAGGGGGUUAUCGCGAAUGUAACUUUUGUCCCUAUUGACAUGUAUGGCAAAAGUGGUAGUCAGGUCGCGAAAGAGACUCUCGAGUAGAUGGAAUAGGUAUAAAUACCCCAUUUACAGCCUAUUUUUCACAUUCUUUAUCAUUGUAUCGAGACUUAUAUCCUAAGGAGAGGAAAAGAUUAGGAUCAAAGUUUUUGCGGGAUUUGGGAGUUUAGAUAACGAUUAUUUACACGAUUUUUCUUUGGAUUUGAGGUAAGGUUCCUCCAUUUCAAGGUUGGUUUCCCCUUUUCUUUCCUAAAAUCUCUAAACCUUGGUGGCUUUAUUGUAGCACCAAUAUAGCUCGGAUUUCACCCAUUCUUGAGGGUAAUUACUCCCUGAGUAUCAGGGAAUAUUGGGCUAGCUUCGGAAAUGUAAUUUCCACAAAUGGGACGUACAUAGGAUUUUUGAGUGUUUUUGGACUUAAUGCACAAUGGUGCAAUAUAGGUAUCAUUAUUAUCAUGGCGAUGAGUAUAUUUUGAUUAUUAUAACUUGGUAUUUUGCAAAAACUUCUUGGAAGGAAAAGUCGAUGAUUUAUUAGAUUCUUUGAGCUUUCUUCAACGUCCAGGUAGUCUAGGUUUUACUCCCUUCAUAUAGUGAGCUAUUUCAUUGUAUGUUUAUGAUAUUAUGUUAGAUUUGGUAUUGGUUUAAGGUUUUAAUGAUCCAAUGGACAAUACUUGGGUUAGUUGGACAUUCUAGGCUAUUCAGAAUCCGUAAUUUAGGUGCUUUGGCUUUUUGCUGUAACACCCCACAUUUUUCGGGCUAGAAUUCAAAUCGUUUUUUCCAUGUAUACAGACCUGAACGCAAUGAUUCUAUGUAUAUAUAUGUGUGAUUGUCAGUUCUAUACUAUGGGAAUAUCUUUUUAUAUGGAUUGAGGUCAUAAAAAUCUUGUAACUCAAAGACGAGUUUUGGACUUUUCUAUCGAUAGAGUUUUGCUCCAACUAGGGUCCACUUUAAAUGAUUGUAUCUCCUUUAAUAUAACUAUUCAUCUAUUCUACUAUAUAUUACAUUAAAUAUCUUUGAUUCUUCUUUUCAAUGCACCUGAUCUCACCUUAAUCCAAUAUCGGAGUAGAAAGUUAUGCUCGUUUUACUUCAGAGUGUCCGUCUGUCAACAAGUUGACAACUUGAGAUGAAAAUAUGUCAACUAAGUGAUGAACUAUCAAUCUCGUCAUCAGCCUUCACUAGAAUGUGACAAAAUUAAGAAAAAGGAUGAUAACUUAGGGUGAUAGGCCAUCAACUAAGUGAUGAGCUAUCAACCUCGUCGUCAGCCUUAACUAGAUAAUUAAGUGAAAGUGACGACUAGGUUGAUAAGCCGUCAACUAGUUGACAACCUAUCAACUUAGUCGUCAGACUUAACCAAAUCAUUAAUAGAAGGUGACGACUAGGUUAAUAAGCUGACAACUAGUUGAUAGGAUAUCAAUUAAGUCGUCAGCCUUAACCAGAUCAGUAAGAGAAGGUGGCGACUAGGUUGAUAAGCCAUCAACUAGUUAACAAGCUAUUAACUGAAAAAUUAUAUAAUUUUUAUUUAGUUUCCCUCGGGGUAUUUUGGUCUUUUCCUCACCCCAAACCCUGCUCCACACGACAUUAAAUCAUCAAAUAGGCGUUAUUAGCCAUUAAUAGUCAGUUUUAAAUGCCAUUAAUCCUUUCUAUUCUGAAGAACAUCAAGCUUAGGGUUUUCUCAUCAAGUCAUCUCUCAAGACUUAAAAUUUGACUUUUUUCUCCAGAAUUCAAGCAUCCAAGGUCCCAAUUCCAAACUUCUUCUUCAAGGAUUCAAACAAUGAAGGUAUGUAGGCUAUUCAUCAAUGGGUUUCUUUCACCUAUUGAGCCUAAAAACUCUCUUUUUGGUUUAAAUAUGAAUUUUAUCCUAUUUUAUGAAAUUAUCCAUGCAACUUAUGAACUUAAUCCAUGUAUCUCCUUGCAAUUUGAAUUCAAGUUAUGUCAACAUGUUUUUCCAUGUAAAUCAAGUUACUUCACAUCUUAAAUUUCAACUACUCAUGUUGCAUUCAAGUGAUUCCAUGUAAAAUCUUCAAGUUAUGAAUCACCAUGUCCAAGUUCAUGUAUUUCACUCAAUUAUUAAAAUGUCUUAUGUCUUGGUCUUUCAACUAUGAUUUUAUACCAUUGUUUAAGCAUUUUUAAAUAUAUUUUGUGAUCAUUCAGUCCUGGAGGGUUAUGAACAUCCAUUACCUAUCUGUUUAUACAUGUCUUUAUUUUCAAGUUACAAGCUAGAUAUGUCAUGAUUUUUAUUACCAUAUUUAGACUACCAUGUUCAUGUUGAGAACUUAACAGUACAGUACAAUGUUAUGUUGACGAAUAAUAAUACCAGAGUCAUUCAGUUGGGAGUUGGAUUUAGCACCGGGCAAACAUAGGGAUGGGAGCUCACCCCCCAGUUAGGACUGGGUCCUUAUUAGCAGUCUUUAAGUUCCAGAACUGCUUAGACAGUGUAGGAUUAUGAGGUGUCACCUACUACUUUAAGACUGACACUCUCUUAGGGGUCACCCACUAGUUAAGGACUCGCUCCCUAAUUUGUCAGGACAUCAGCCUUGUGGAUCUAUAUCAUCAUCAUCAUUUAUAUGUUAGUACCCAUGGAAAGGUACUGACAUCCUUCCAACUCGGGAUAUAGGUUAGACCCCGACUAGCUCAAAUUGGGGCAUGUCGAUUACAUGAUAGCUCCCACAAUUUCAGUUAGUAUUUAGUCUAUAUUAGUUUAGGUUCGCUUGACCAAGUAAUCAAAUUCUUAGUUAUUCAGUUAUUCAGAUAUCAAUUAUUUAGAUAAUUUUAGUACAUGGUUUACUUGGUUCUUCAUUCUCAGUUUUACAUGUUCAUGUUCUUCAUGCUCAAUAUCCAUAUAUGAUCCUUAGUUUAGUUUUACAGUAUGUUCAUCGUUACAUAUAAUAUUCAGGUUUUACCGCUUCCCAACUUCAGUUCUAUUUAUUCUACAAAACUAAAGAUUUAAGAAACAAGGUGUAUUGAUUCACUAGCUUAUAAGAUUAUGUUUGUUACUCAUGUUUUAAGAUACUUCAGCUUUCAGUUGAUUUCAGUCUCUUGGUGAGUCUACUUUCGCUUAGCAUGCAUGUUUUAAGAUUAUGUAUCUAUUCAAUUUUACUUAUUGCAUUCACCCCCACUUACUCAGUACAUUCCAAAAGUAAUGACCAUAUAUACGUCUAUGUGGCUACAUUAUUUCAUAAUGUAGGUACAAGAAGUAGUCCACACUCAACAAUCAGAGAAUUCUCAGCUUUUAGCUAGCUGGUGAUGGGUUCUACUAUUUCAGGAACUCCAGUCUAUUAUAGUUCAUAUAAUGUAUUUUGAUUUCUCAUAUGUAUUGGUGGUAGUUUGAGGCAUGUCCCACCUAUCUAUAGUCAGUAUAGUAAAGGCUUCAUAGAUAGUCAGUCAGAGUUAUGAUAUGUAAAUCAAGUUCUUUCUUCAAUUUUAUCAUAUUGUAAAAUUUAUUAGUAUUACAUCCAUUUAGAUUUUCUCAUGAUUAUGAUUCCAUUCAGCAAAUUAAGUUUUGUUAUAUACAUAUUAAAUAAGUUGCUCAACAAUAUGCCAAUACAAGUGUUAGCUUGGGAUCACCUGUGGUUCUAAGCACCGUGUUACAACUAGGAGGUAGUCUCAGGUUGUGACCGUUGCUUAGUUCAUUCGUAGAAUUUUUUCCUUAGGGAUAAUUAAAUAUUUUUUGACAUCUAAAAGUUAAUUUAGAUACCUUAGCCAAGUUUGAGGUAGAAAUUUGCCUAGUAGUGAUUUCGGGGAUUUAGAAGCGGGCCCUUUGACCUAUCUUAGGCCUCGAUUUAUGUUAGCUAUUAAAAACCUGUUAUACGCUUGUUUUACAUCUUGAAAUUUCUUAUUAAGGGAAUAUUGAUAAACAAUCGCAUUUGAUGGUGAUGAUGGAAUUAAUAUUGAGAGAUGAGGCUUAUUGAUUAUGCUAUUGCUUAUGAUAUUGAAUAUAUAAUUACCGAUUUGAGUUUGGAUAUUUAUUAUAGCAACAAUGAUAUACUUACCAAGUUAAUUUGGGCAUUUAUUAUAAUAUGAUGAUAUUUUUACCAAUUUGAGUCCGAAUAUUGAUAAUGGCAUUGAUGAUUUUAUUACCGGCUUGAGUCCGGCUAUGGAGUACAUUAUUCAUAAUAUAUUGCUGGUUUGAGAUCGGCUACUACUUAUGAUAUUGAUUAUAAGAUAUCUAUUCAAGGCCAACAAAGGAUCAUGAUAUAUAGGCAAUGUGGAUAUUGGUUUAAGUUUGGAAAUAGGAAAUUAUUCUAAUGUGGCAUAAUAUGGAUAGAUUCUUUUUGUACCUUGAGAGUUGGUAAAUAAUGGUAGUUUGAGUUAUACUAUUUUUGUGUGUACCCUCCAGGCUUAUUAGGGCCUUCGUUGGGUUAUUUACUUUUCUGCACUUAUUGUCUCUUGGGGGUCAAUUUUGAAGUUGUAAUCGGAUGUGUUUGAUCCUUCAUGUUAUGUUAUUAUUUUGGUUAUUUACUUAUUCAUGUAUAGUGAUGCUGGAGUUGAUUCAGGUUUGCUCUACAUUGACUUAGUUAUAUUGUAUUGCAUUUUAUCUUGAGGCGUCAGUUUUCUUUGAAGAUCGAGGAAUAUAGUGUUAGACAAUUAUGCUAUUCAUAUUUAUAUCAUGAGUUAGCUUAGUCGGCCGAUGAUGCCUACUGAGUACCCAUGGUUUUUGCACUUAUAUUAACUAUUAUACCUUUCUAGUGCAGAUUCGAGUACUAAUUGUCGUCGUUGAUUCGAGGAUUGUGCUACGUUUGAUUCAAAGUUAAGGUGAGCUUAUAGAGUCGGAGUUGCCCCAUUUCCUUCUAUCUUACUUAUGCAGAGUGUCUAGUUUUGAGUCAAGAUUUUAUUGACUAUUUUAGACUUGGGUUGCAUUUAUAGUAGCUCUUAUACUGGCUCUACCAAGUCAUGGGAUGAUUUUCUAUUUUAUGGCUACCUUAUGAUUGUUUCUGUUAUAUUGCUUACUUAUGUAUUUAAUUGCCUAUUUGGCCCUUUUUGGGCCGUUUCCACCAAGUUAGCCCAUUACAAAUAACUUCGAGCUAGGUUUUGACUUACCUACUAGGGUGAAAGUGUAGGUGCCAUCAUGACUCGUAAAUCGGUUCAUGACACACUACAUCUUAGAAAAUACCUUUUAAUCAUGAUUUUGAAAUGAGUUUCUAGGUUUUUAGCAAUAAAGUUUAAACAUGGAUUUUCUUCAUUUUGGACCUUGCCUUUAACCUUUUUUACAUGGGUUUUCAGAUAUCGACUCCUAUAACCUUGAAAAAUGUAUUUCUAAAUUAACAUUUUAAUUUUACCUUUUCAUUUUUAAACUUGUUUCUGACCCAACUUAAAUAUGGACAAUAUGGUUAUCAUUAGCUUCUUUUUUAAGUGUAAAAGCUAUUUUUGAAUAUUGUAUUUUAUUCCAAGGACCUUUGUAAGGAGAAGGCUCAAUGUUGAAUCACUUUAAGCUUUGAUUUUGCCAUUUUGAGGUAUGUUAUGGCUCAAUCUUUUUUCAAACUGAGUUGGGUAGUUAAUAAAUAAGUAAAGUAUGCUAUCGGUCGAAAAAAUAACUAUGGAGUUAAUAUUGCAAGAUAAUUAUUUCUCUUGUGUGCCCGUGUAGAAGCUUCUAUUCUAUUAUUAUUGACAUGCGAUAUUUGAUAUUGUGUGUUGAACGAACUGGAGCUUAGUCUGACAUUAUUGGCAUUAUUUACGCAUUUAAAUGCCUUUGUUCUAGAUAUUAUGAUCAUACAUGGGAUUGAAUUGUUUUUUAAGGAUUUUUUUGAGUAUUAGUUUCCCUGACAUGAUAGAAAUGAUUGAGUUAGGAAUUGACAUGGCCUUAGUGAUGUCUUAUAUACAUACUUUCUCCGAUGAUGCCUAAGUAGUGUUGGUAAUCAUGAAGUUUGGACAUAUUGAAUUGAUUCUACGAUCACUUAUAUAGUUGUUUGAAGGAUUGGAUACUUUAUUUUGAGUUGAUUAUGAGUAUUACAUCCUCAUUUCUAUGCAUAUACUUUCAUGAGAUACUAGUACCAUUAAAUAAUAAUAUUUUGAAAGAAAAUGAGACAUUUUCUUAUAAAAAUACUCUCUGUGAACACGAGCUAGAGAGGUGGGUUAAGAUUUGAGAUACGACAUAUAGUAUAUGAAUUGCGAACCCCAUGAGUCCUACCUAGGAGCUGCAAGCUCGAUAGGUGUAUAUAGAAAGUCAUGUGAUAAAUUUCACCAUUCAUCCCAUCCACAUUGCAUUUUUUUGCAUUGGAUAGACAUCAUUAAUGAUUUUCUUUAGUUCAUUGACUUGUGUAUAGUUUUCGUAUAUUCAUCAUGUAUAUUUGUGCUAUUUUAAUUUCUAUAUGCAUAAUAUACAAAUUAGAAUUACUAGUGGAGAUAGAGUGAGCUACCAUUUUAGACUUUUCUACUUGCAGGUGGCGAGCUCAUAGUGUUAUUUACUUACCUUAUUUUAUAUUUUGCUUAGUCGGCCUAUGAUACCUACUGAGUACAAGUGGACUUAUAAUGACUCAAAUUUUGGUGAUUUAUGUGAAAAGUGUCUUUUGUGUGAUUUGACCUUUUUUUACCUCUCCACGUGGUUGCUUUGUGGUAUUUCUAGAGUAUGGGUAUGUUUGGCCUGAUUUUCAAUGUAUUUUGGUAUGAUUUUUUUGAUAUUGUGGUUUUUGGUGGGUUUGAGAGCCUUAUAGUUGACUUUGGUCAAUAUUUGUUGAUUUGUGUAUCAGAUGGAAAAACGAGUUGUGCCAAUAAAUCUGGAAUGUCAAUUGUAGGGUGGUAACAUGGUUGGUAUGAUUUUAUGUCUUUUAUAUAUCAUUUUGACCCUCAGUUUUGAAAGUUGUGAAUUGGAUUUUGAGUGGUCAACUUUGUGAAAAAGAUGUUUUCUCAAAAAUCAAAUUCUCCAUUGAAUCCGGAGCAUCGAUUUGAUAGGGUAGCAUUUUUUUUGUUUUCACAGGAUUUUGGAUGAAUCUCGAGGAAUCCACAGGGACUUGGAGCCUAUAUAAACAAUUGUUUCCCUAUUUUCCCCAUUUUGGAGACUUGGAGCUUAGGGUUUCACACUUUUGAGCAUUUUAUUUCCAUUUCUAAGCUUGGGUAAGCUUCUAAACACCUAUUUCAACUACUUUACCCAAUUUUAUUAUCGAAUUCUUGUUUUAAUGUAGAUUAAAGUGGAAAAUUGAGGAUUUUGGGUCGGAAGACCAAAAAAAUUGUAUUUUUUUGAUUCAAACCCAGUUUUCAAUUUGUUUUCACUUACGUAAGUUUCUAACCUUAUGCUUCCUCCAUUCUAAAAUAAUUAAAUUAUUGGGGUAUGGCACGCCCCUUAAUAAAUUUUUUAGGACAUAAAUUAUAGGUUACUUUCAACUAUUACCCUUUUAAUUAUUCGCAAAUUACUCUCCUAAAAAAUUUGAAGUACUUAAGAACCUCCUUAAAUGAAAGGUUAAAAUUGGAAGAAAUAUCAACAUGUUUCUUGAACAAUGAACAAUUCAAUUAUUUGGAACAUUAAAAAAUAUCUUAACAAUUCAUUUAUUGUGGAAUGAAGGGAGAAGUUAUUAGUUUUCUCUCUAUUUUAUCUUCAAAACAACUUCAGAUUUUUGAUUUCAAAAAGAAAUUUUGGAGAUUUUGCUGUAAAGCUUAACCAUGGGUUUUCUUCAAUUUAAACCUCGUUUUAAACUUAUUUUUAUUUGGAUUUUUAGCUGUAGACUCCUAAAAAUAUGAGAAACAUAUUUCAAAUAUAAAAUUAUGAUUUUCUUUAGAAACCAUUUAAGAGGUUUGUUUUAGCCCGACUUAAAAAUAGGCAAUAAGGGUAUCGUUAAAUUUCUUUUGAUGCAUAGAUUUUAUAUUUCUAUAUUUUAGUUUAUUCCGAGUCCAUUUGGGUAGAGUUAGGCUUUAGAGUGAAGGCUUGCAGACCAGUUUUCUACAUUCGAGGUAGGUUAUGGCAUAACUUUCUUCAAACUAGGAUGGGUAGUUAAUGUUGAUACAAAAUUAUGUUAAGGGUGUGGGUAUUAAUGAUGAACAUGGAUGAAUUAUUGUGUUGUGCCCAUAUGGGGGCCUAUAUUAAUGUACUUGCUAAAUUUGGUAUUAUUUGCUAUGUGUGAUUGUAUGGGGUCUUAUAUGCUAUUAUUGGCCUGAUUUAUCUGAAAUUAGUUGUACCUUGUUUAAUGUAAAAGCCUAAUGUGGUAUCAACGGUAUAUUUGAUGAAUUUGACUCUAUUGGCAUAUGGUUUAUGUUGGAUUUCAUAGAUGGUUGCAAAUAUUGAGUGGAUUAUUGGCUCACUUCGUUGGUAUAUUGGUUGGAUAUAGAAAGACUCAAUCUGGUUGAUAGUUAGCAUUAGAUCCUUAUGUCAUAUAAAUUCAUGAGACAUUGGUACCACUAUGGAAAUACUGGAAAUAUUAGAAACAUUGGCUUAUUCUGAUAGAAAAUGUGACAUCUUAAAAUCCCUCUAUCGAAAGAUGUGUCAGAGAGGAUAUAUGGAUAUGAUAUUGUAUAUGGAUUGUAUACGGGUUGAUGAACCCCCCAUAGGUCCUACACCAGGUAGCUUAAUCUUUGUAGGUAUAUACGGAUGUUGUGCAACAUCCUCGUGCAUCAUAUCAUCAUCAUCAUCUUUAUUAAAUUUACAUUGUUGUGCUUAUGUUGUCAUUGUAUUUCCAUCUUUACAUGUUACCUAACCUUUUUUCUACUUUUCUUUACAUGUGUUGAUGUUUAUGUAUAUGUAUUUUGUCCUUCUUUUCUCUAUUUGUAUUUGUUAUAUGUGUGCAUAUUAGAACUAUUAGUGUAGAUGGUGUGGGCUACCGUUAUGGGAUAUUUUCUGAUUUUCGGUGAUAUGCCCUUAGUGUGUAUUUUGCAUGCUUUAUUUUCUACUUUGCUCAGUCGGAGUAUGAUACCUAAGAGUACAAGUGGACCAUACUCACCCCUAUUGUGCCCUUUUCGUGCAGAUCCUAGUUUGAGUGUGCCUCACGGUGGUUGACUUCGGGCGAUACUUUAGAUCCAUCUCUUUAUUCGUAUUUUAGAGACAAAGUUGUUCCUAUUUUUGAUAUCUUAUGUAUUUUGAUCUCGAGUUGUACUAGUGAUGUUCUUAUAUUAUAGCACCAAGUUUUGGGAUUAUGGUAUUUAUUGAUUAUAUCUUUUUUCUUUACUAUAUUUUGUGGUUUGGCUUUAUUCUAGAAGCCUUACAUGGGUUAUUUCUAUUAUUUUUCCUUUUUGUAUCAGUUUAUUGGAUAGGAUUGCAUGUCAAUGGUUUUCCCAACAAGUGCCAUCAUGACGCUUGGUCUUUGGGUCAUGACAAUCGAUAUCAAAGCAACCAAGUUCAUUGGUCUCAACAAUGUUAGAACAAGAUGUCUAAUAGAGUCUCACAGAUAGAUAUGUAGAUGUAUGUAUCUAUCUUAGAGAGGCUAUAGCAUGUAUUUAGGAAAUUUCCAUCAUUUUGUUCCUUAUUAUGUAUAUUUCUUUCGUACCUUAUAUUAUAAGUCAUAUUUACUCUUUGUAGGUAGAUGGUGAUGACUAUAUCUACGGAGGUUAGAGAUGCUGAGCCUUUAUAUGAGGGAAGAUCCUAGUCUAGAGUGUGAGUUGCAAACCUUGGAGGGGAUCGAGGUUGUCGAUAGGUACAUGGAUCUGCCCCAUCCAGGAGAAGUACUAGGGGACUUACCUUGAGCCUUAUGUUGAUCAUGUUGGAGAUUUUGGUCCUACUUUAGUCCCACUUAUUUUUUCAACCCCAAUCUUGGAGGGGUUUUUGAUUCUCUUGUUGAACCAUUUUCUGAUUAUUGUACCCCUAUCUGUGUUAGAGUCUAUUUAUGGCAUUCCUCCAACCAAUAUAGAUCCUCCAGUUGCCCCUACUUCUUCUUUGGUACUCCACAGACUUCUAGUGUUAUUCCUUUUUCAGCACCUGUAUCCAAGUAUGGUAUUUGAGGUUAGGAGUUCAGCCUUUCUCUAUGUUUCCUCCUCCGAUGGUGUCUCAGCCAACUAGAUUCACCAUGCCUCCUCUUUUGGAGAGUAUAGUCAUGUGUUUGAGGAUUAGAAGGGGUUUGAGAGGUUUACUCGUUUGGGCCCUUAGGUUCAGUAGUGCUGUGGGCGAGGAUUCCUAUGAGUUCUUGAUCGAUUGUCGUGAGAUAUUGCAUAACCCGUGUUCACUUAAGUCACACAGUGUUGCAUAUAGUACUUAUUAGUUGAUCGAUGCCGCUAGAGAUUGUUGUGAGAAGUUGCAUAACCUAUGUUCACUUCAAGCAUCUGUCUCCAAAUCUCCAACUUAUCAUUAACUCCACUCUGAGUCUCGUCAAUCAGAACCACAUCAUCUGUAAAUAACAUACACCAAGGCACCUCUCCUUGAAUAUGUAGCAUCAAAACAUCCAUCUCCAAGGAAAAAAGAAACGGGCUAAGAUUCGAUCCCUGAUGCAACUCUAUCAAAAUUAUGAAGUGCUCCGAAUUUCCACCUACCAAAUUCUAGGAACCAAAAAAGUUUAACUUACCACUUCUGAGAGAGUCAAAACUAGGUUAAUGCAUUUAAUUUUAAAGUUUUCCUUUUGGGGUUGUCAACGUGUUGACUAAAUUAGUUGGCUUUGGUACGUCAGUGGAACUGACUUAUUUGAAUUAUUUUGGAAUUUCUACAAAAAGAAAUUUACAAUAGGGUGGUGUCUAUUUGCUGAGAGAGUCCUUCAUGUUUGAUGGCUACCAAAGGAUUGAGUCAGUUGUAGUUGCAACUGUAAAGCUGCUACCUGAAAGCUUGUGGUUUGACUUGUCUUAGAGGUGAUGGUCAUCCUGGCUUCCUUGUAUUGUUUGUCAGCUUAUUCUAGAUGAAGUCACGUGUUAAAGACAAUUUAUUUUGACUCUUCUUCUCUCAAAGAACAAAAUUUCAACAUAGCUAAUCUAUUUGAAUUAGAUAAAAACAAAUGAUCUACACUACAAUACUGAAGAAAUCAAUUAUACCCAUAUAAAGUUGUCAUGAUAACAUAAAAGAAAAAAUGUAUCAAGAUUUUCUAUACUCAAAAUAUCAGAUGUUCUCUCUACCAGUUGAACUUGAAAGCUUGAAAUCCUGGGGAGUAUCCUUCCACUCAUUUAGAAUUGUUAUCGGAUCUCUGGAAUGAAAAAGAUCUAUGAUACUUGUUUAUGUACUUAGGUGUAAAGUUUUGAUACGAAGUUUCUUUUUAUAAUUUUUCUCAGAAAUUUCAAGUCAGUUCAAAGUCCUUGUGUUCUGGAAAAUUCAACUUCUUGUAAUCUAAGUAAUGAUAUAACAGUUAGUAGAGGAAGGCAGAUUUAAACAACAUAAGGUUCAUAAUUGUUGUUUUCAUUUGGUUCUUGGAAUUUUGGGUGUUGCUUAUUUUUUAAUCUCUAACUAGUGUUUCCUGAACUUGGUUUCUUCUUAUGUAAAUUGUGAAAGGCAUUAGAGCAUUAUAUCUUAGAUAGUAGAGUUGCAUUUAUUUUUAGAUAAUAAAUUUUGCUGAUUUUUUACUGGCCACCAAUCACUGUGGACAAGAUUAGAAUUAUGAUUGGCAUCCUCCAGAGGCUACCUUGUAUUGUAUACGAGCUAUAUCAGAUUAUGUUUCUGAUAUUGAAGCUGAAAUGAUACCACAGGUUUGAAUGAUGAUUGAAAAUUAUGUCCAUUCAAAUUUGUUCUACUUAAGAAAUUGUGUUAACUUAUUUUUCUUCUUUGCUGCCUUACUAUUUUAACUUGCAGAUUAUGUCUUUGCUUCAUAAGCUACCUUAUCAGCUCCAUCUACUUCAAACAGAUAGUUAAUUUAUUCUCUUUUCGGCAUUUCAUUCUAUUGUCAUUCGGUUAGCUUCCAACACCUAGUUUCCUUCAAAAUCACUCCAAAAACACAUCAAACCCAACAAAAUAGCCUUAAUUAUAUGCGUAUUCUCCAAGUUUAAGCACCAUUAGUGACAUAAAACCAUGGCAUAUCAAGACCUUUAACUUAAAAUAAUGAAUGUCUUCAGGCCACAAAAACAUACUAAAACAACAUGCCGAUGCUUAACCAAGAGAAACCUAAGAUAUAUAUGGCAGUUAAUCAUUAAUUUUUAUCUCAAAACACAUUACCAUCACAAAGUUUAACACAUUCAAACCAAUUGUGCUUAUCUAUGAAACACACCAAUGUUACACAAAGGAAUAAAUUAAAACCAUACAUAUGUACAAACUUUAGUAUAAAGUUUAACACAUUAAAACCAUACAUAUGUACAAGUUACACUAGCAAAAUAAGAAAGAAGGAAACAACACAACCCAUGCACCCUCACAUCAAAGAAAUGCCAACCACUCAAUAGCAUGAUGUAUGUCUUUGCAUUUAUAUAAUGACUCUUAGGUUAUUUUCCAUAUUUCCACUUAUUUUCACCGUAAAAUCUUUUCCAAAGAUACCCUAACUCAUUUAUGACAUUCUAGGAUAGAUAUUUCAUUUAAUGGACUAUUCAUUUGGUUUUCAGAGCCAAUUCCCUAUUUUGAAGCAUUCUAUGGUUCCAAAUGGGUACCGGGCAAAAACUUUAGUAAAAAAACCUCGAAUGCAAAUUUUGAUUGUGCCAAAAGCUUUGAAAUGUUGAUUUUAUGCUAGGUGAACCUUUGGUUAUGAUUCCUAUGAACCCGAGCUUAUUUUAACCUAUUAGUCAAAAGUUGGAGAAAUUGGAUAUUAGGUGUGGGACUUAUAUUUGGUAGAAACAACCUAGGAUAGAAAAUCUGAUUAUGCUAUCACAUCUGAAACGUCUAAUUUAGUAUAGUUACAUAGCUCAUUUAUGUAGAUGGGGUUCUUAAUGAAUCUCGAGGCAUUGUCUUAGACUUGGAAGAAUUCUAAGACUUCAACUAUCAUCUGGUUCCAUGGCUAUCACCAUCUUUAGGCCCCACGAUCGUACAUAAGAAUUGCGAUCGUUACUUAUUGUGAAACCACAUAUUGUGGAGAUCGCAUACCUUUCCAGUCAUGAUAGAUACAUCUAAUUACCUAUAUGGGGUAUAAAUAGACCCUUUAUGUUGUGAAUUAGCCUAUUUUUCAUCCAUACCUUGAGACAAAAAAACUAAGGAGUAGGAUAUCUAAAAAUUGAUACUUGUGGGUGACUUAGGAGUUUGAUUAACAUCGAUUUUUAUGAUUAUUAUUUAUAUUUUAACCUUUUCAUGGCAAAUUUUAGUGAAUUAUUGACCAAAACCCUAAGUAGCUUGAUGGAUUGAUUUUAGCCCAAUUUAGCUUGGUUUUUACCCAUUUUUGAGGGUUAUGAUUCUUUGAUUAUGUAUGAAAAUUGGUUUGGCCUAAAAUAGUGAUUUUCUUAAGUAUGACCCAGAUAGGUUUUUUUUUUGGUCCUGAAGAACAAUGGUGUAAUAUGGGUAUUGUUAUUCUAGUAUUUAUAGGUAGAAUAUGAUUUUGAUAGGUUGGCAUCUUGUAGAGGCAUCUUAAGAGGGAAUAGAAAAGGUUUAGCCGUUCGUUGAACUUUCUUUGACGUCGAGGUAGGGUAUGUUUAUCCUUUGUUAGAUUGAGCUAUGUCAUAGUAUAUUUAUGAAAUCUUCUUAGAUUGGGAUGGUUUUUGGCAUUGGAUUGAUGAAAUGCAAUACUUGGGACUAGUUAUAUUAUUUUAGUCAUUUGAGUCUGUAGAGUUGGAAUAUUUAGCUUGCUGCCUUGAAUCUUAGUGAAUAAGACUUCAUUAUUCAUGUUUAGCAUGAGAAUUUUCUAAAUUACUCAAAUUAGGUUAAAAUGCAUUAGACCCUUAUGCUUAGGAUAAGUUGGCCUUAAUUUCUAACACUAAUAAAAGUUGCCUUAGUUUUAUUAGACUUAGUUAUAGUGCUUGAAUGGAAUCUCUACCUUAGGACUAAUUAUGGCUUACUAUGGAUCUAAGAGUUAAUUAGAUACCUUAGCCUAGUUUGGGGUAGAAAUUUGACUUUGAAUGUAGUUUGGGGAUUUAGAAAUGGGAUCUUAACCCACCUUAAGACAAGAUUUAUAUAGUUCUCUUAAAACCCUUAUAGUCUUAUUAAAUGCCUAGAUAAUGCCUUUUGAGGAAAUAUAGAGGAACCAUGGUAAUGAAUUAUGGUGAUGACCUUGGAGGUAAUGUUCAUGGUCUAAUUGACUAGCUUAUCGAUUAUAUUAUAUGAAUUAUUGAUUAUGCUAUGAAAUACGCCCAUGACUAUGUGGUGAUUAAGUCAUUGAUUAGGCUAUUAUUCGGGCCUUUGACUAAGCUAUUGCUCAUGCUAUGAUCAUGCUUGUUAAUAAUGCUAGUAACUAUUUUACAAAUCUUUCUUAUUGAUGAUAUUGGAAAAUAUGAUAUUGAUGAUGCCAGAAGGCACGCUUAAUGAAUAUAUAGAAAGUUCUAUUACUAAUAAAGUUAUAAAUCACAAUACUUCAUUAUAUGAUUGCUUAUUUUAUUAAUUUUGCCAUUAUGAUUAUGUGUGUAUAUAUAUAUUGAUACUCAGUAAGGCAAAGGAUAUUAUGAUGAUAUCCGACAAAAUUGAAGGAUAUUGUGAUAAUAUUGAUACUCGAUAAGGCCAGAGGAUCACAAUGAUGAUAUAUACCUUGUAAGGCCAUAUAUUUAUUAUGGUGAUGCAUUGAUACCCAACAAGGCCGGGGGAUGAUUAUAUUGAUGCGUUUAUGUUUACAUCUACCAGUUUAAGUCUAACUAGCCCUAUGUAUGACAUUUAUAUGCUUAUAUACUUAUGUAUAAUAUGGGUACGAUAAUGAUAUUAGAAAUAUUGGUUAUAGCCCACUAGUGAUAACUACAUAUAAAGUGUAUAGUUGAUAAUUAAUGUUAAAUAAGGAUUAGUGGUGUAUAUUUUUUAAAUAAUUAAUAUGAAAUAGUUGAUAAUUGAGAAUUAGUUGUAAAAAGAUGUUUAGUUAGUAAAUGAUGUUAGUUGAUAAAUAAUGGUUGGAUAAUGAAUGUUGGUGAACGAAUGAAUAUAUGGUAAAUAGUUGCCUAAGUGAUGACUAGUAAUCUAAAGAAUUAAUUAAUGUGAUAUGGUUUGCUAAUAAGUGGUGAUAAGUGAGGAAUAAUGAUAAGAUGGUUAAUGAUGAUAACCUUAUGAAAUAUGGGCUUUUUACCGAAUAUUGAUAAAUUAUGGAAUAAUAGUUGAAUGACGAUGGAAGGUGGUUAUAUGUUGGUUAAUUUCUUUAUUAUUCUAUUGGGUGUACUCUGUAGUUUUAUGGGAGGUUGGGAUGAGUUCUUUACUUUUCUACACUAGUUGGUGUAUGGGAGCCAACAUUGAAGUUAUUUUUGCUUGUGUUGAUGCUUUGUAAUGCAUUAUUAUUCUGAAUUGUUGAUUUAUUAUGCACGACAUUAUGGGGAUGUGUUGAUGCCUUAUGUUAUACUUUUAUUCCAAUUUAAUUACUUAUUAUAAAUAGUGGUAUUAGAGGUGAUUCAUGUUCAUUUCUAUACCUUGACUUAGGUUAUAUUGUCUCUCAUUUUAUCUUUCUUAUAUCAUGAUUUACCUUAGUCGACCGAUGAUGCCUACUGAGUAGCUAUUUUUUGGUACUCAAACUACACUUUUAUACCUUUUUGGUGUAUAUCCAAGUACUAGUUGCUUUCAUUGAUCAAAGUUUAUGUGAUGUGAAUAUUUUAGAUAUAGGGUGAGCUCUUCAAGUGCUAGUCGCCCAUUUUUUUCUAUCAAUAUGUUUAAAUUUUUGUUUUUAGAUAGAUGUAAUGACUAUUGUUAGACAUUUGGGUUGUAUUAUUGACCUUAGAUGCUAUUGAACUAACUCUACUAGGUUUUGGGAUUGGUAUCAUAUUUGAAUCUUUUAUUUAUUUAGAACGGCUUACAUAUUAUUUAAGUGUGUUUCUUAUUUCUACCUAAGUUGGGAAAUUUCCUACAAAAUUAACCUAUUACAUUAGCUCUGGGUUAUGGUUUGGCGUACCUAUAGGUGGGCUUUAGUAGGUUCCAUCAUGACUCAUAAAUCAGGUCAUGAUAAAUUGGGAUUAAAGCCCAGGUUUUACUAAUAUUGUUGGUACAAGAGCAAGUGUCUAGUAGUGUCUUGCAGAUUGGAAUGUUGACGCAUGUUUCCUUUCUUUGGGAGGAUAUGGAACAUUCGUAGGAGUUCAUCACUUCUUUCAUUUAUAUUGUGCUAGGAGUUAGAUUUGGUUUGUAGAGUAUUUCUUGGCUUUAAUCUUUUGUAGAUGGCCGGGACACGUGCUGCUACACGAUAUGACGGUCUUAACAUCGAGUGUAGGGAUCCAACUCUUAUUUUUGAUAACCUAGAGGUCAUGGAAAACCACAGGAUAUGUCCCAAGCUAUGGGCCAAGGUAGGCCACCUUCCCCAGACCUUAUUCUUACACUUGAGCCAAAAAUUCUUCUUCCGCAUCCAACGGUGGGCCAGGGACCAACCCAAGCUGCACUAGGGUUUUUUUAUUCUUUGAUGCUCAAAUAUGGAUUGGUUUAGCUUUUGGGUUUAGUUGGUGGUGCAUCAUCAUAUGCACUAUUUAUGAAUUAAAGUACAACUAAGAUGAGGGCACAACUUGUAGCUGCGUCUUACAAAGUUAAGGUAUCUCCUACAUCAAUGGUUUCACAGUUGGUAGUUACUCAGCUAGUAGUUGCCCAACCUGUUAUAUCUUUCAAAGAGAAAAAAAUAUUAGGUAGAUUCUUGAGGUUGCUCCAUCUAGGUUUUCUGGUACAAUAGGCAAUGAUGCAUAUGAGUUUUUGAUUAAUUUUGAGGAUAAGUUUCAUGGUUUAGGCCUUCUUGAGACUCAUGGUAUGGAUUAUACCAUAUUUUAAUUAGACUGGUUUGCUCAUCUUUGAUGGAGAGGUUAUGUGGAUUCUAGACCAGCUGGAUCAUUUUCCUUAUCAUAGACUCAGUUAUCCAAGAUAUUUUUACAGAUGUAUAAGCCUCACAACCUUACAGAUCAUCUGAGAGAUCAGUUCUCUAAAUUAGAGCAGGAUGCAAUAGUAGUUGCAAAGUAUGAGGCUCCUUUUAAUGAGUUGGCUAGGCAUCCGACUUCUAUUAUAGUUACUAAGUAUGAAAGAGUUUGCUACUUUGUUGGAGGGUUGAGUCUUCCUAUUCAUAUAGAUACUCAGAGUUAAGUUAUUAUGGGUAGGUACUUUGUUGAGGUAUUGUAUCAUGCCAGGGUAAUAGAGGAGAUGCUCUAUGAGAGUCAUAAGGGCCGUGAUAAGAGGCCUAGGUUUUAGGGAAGAUUUUGUAUUAGCUAUGGUAGUUUUGGAUUCAGAGGAGAUAGUUCUUAUGUUGGGUAUUCUCCACAUUCGUCUUUUUUAGACUCAGAGUCAGCCUAGUCUACAGUUCAGGUAUCUCUUCAGACUAUAAAUGGAGUUCAGUCUACUACAAGAGACCUCUCUAGUCUGGGUGGUGGUUAGUUUUCAAGAGAUUCAUAUUCUGGUCAUUCUAGAUGUGGUAGUUAUUCUUGGUCAGCUAGAUCUGGUGGUUUUGGUUCAACUCAUGUUUCCAUUUUUACUUGUGGACAUCCUAGUCACUAUAUGCGAGACUGCCCUAGUCAUGGGGUAAUUGUUUCUUUAACUUAGAGUGUUCCCCAUAUCAAAGAAGUUUAUCCCUCAGCUAUAGGUGGUUCUUAUUGUCAUAGAGAUGGUUAUCGUGGUACUCGAGGAAUUUAUCAGGCUGGUAGGAUAGGAGGUUAGUCAGGUGCCUAAAAAAUUGGUAGGUAUGGUCAAUUUUAUGCACUACCUGCUAGAACCGAGGUGGACACUUUGAAUUUUAUGGUUAUAGGUACAAUUUUGGUACGCCACUAGUUGGCCAAUACUUUAUUUGAUUCAGGAUACACUUAUUCCUAUAUUUCUUCUUAUUAUGCACCACAGUUGGAGUUGUUUUGUGAUUCAAUAUUUGUACUAUUGUGCUUAUUUAAUUGAGUGAGUGAUUCUAUAGGAGUGGAUUGCAUAUUUAUAUCAUGUGUUAUGAUUAUCAAGGAUGUUGAUACUUAUUUUGAUCUUAUUAUUCUGGAUAUAGCGGAUUUUGAUAUAACUCUGGGCAUGGACUGGUUAUACCACUAUGAUGCGGUUAUGGAUUGCUUUUCUAAGACCGUUACCUUUGCCAUUUCUAGCUUAUCCUCGGUAGUAUGGCAGGGACCAGCAAGUUGCUAGGUGAUGGGGAUUAUUUCUUAUGUUCUUAAUAGAAGGUUUAUUUUGAGAGAUUGUGAUUCUUAUCCCAAUUAUAUUUGUAGUACUAGUAUGGAGAGUUUUUUUACUUCACUCUAUUCUUGUCAUUUUUGAGUUUCCUAGUGUGUUCCCUAUCGACCUGUCUGGUAUUCCCCCUUUUCGUGAGACUUUGUUUGCUAUUGAUCUUAAGCUUGACACCUAACCUAUUUCUAAGGUGCCUUACCAUAUAGCUCUAGCCAAACUUAAGGAGCUAAAUUCUUAAUUACAUGAUCUUCUUACUAAGGGUUUUGGUAGACCGGGUGUGUCUCCUAGGGGUGCUCCUAUAUUGUUUGUGUAGAAGAAUGAUGGGUCUAUGCAUAUGUGUAUUGAAUAUAGGCAACUUAAUAAAGUGACGGUGAAGACCCAUUAUCUUAUGCCUUCCUAUACCUCAUAUUGAUGAUUUGUUUGAUAAGCUUCAGGGUGUAGAAGUAUUUUCUAAUAUUAAUUUAAGAUUUGGUUAUCAUAAGUUGAGGAUUCGGGCAGAGGAUAUCCUGAAGAUAAAUUUUAGGACACGUUAUGGUCAUUAUGAGUUCUUAGUGAUGUCAUUUGGGUUGACUGAUGCCCCAACCGUGUUCAUGAAGUUGAUGAACGGAGUAUUAAGGCCUUAUUUGGAUUAAUUCAUGACUGUGUUCAUCAAUGACAUCCUUGUGGUAUUCGAGAAAUAGAGAGAAUCAUACACAGUAUUUGAGGAUCGUGCUCUUGACUUGGAGGGAUAAUAUGCUUUUUGCCAAGUUCUCUAAGUGUUAGUUUUUUCUUAAGUCGAUGGUAUUUCUUAGACAUGUGGUGUCUAAGAAUGGAAUUAUGGUAGAUCCAACUAACAUUGAGGCGAUAUGGGUUUGGGCUAGACCUUUAUCUCCGAUCGAGGUUCAUAGCUUUUUUGGUUUGGCUAGUUAUUAUAAAUGCUUCAUUAAGGGAUUUGUUACUAUUUUAGCCUCUAUGACGAGUGACUCGAAUAAAGGUUCCUUUUCAAUGGUCUAAGAAGUAUGAGUCAAACUUUGGAAAGCCCAAGGAUUUUCUCACUCUAGCUCCUAUUUUAGCUCUUCUUGUUGAACGUAAGGGAUUUAUCAUAUUUUGUAAUGCUUUUGGUGUUGGUCUAGGUUGUGUACUGAUGUAGUAGGGUCGUGUUAUUACUUAUGAUUCUAGAUUUGGAGUUGGGGGCAGUAGUUCUUAUGCUUAAGAUUUGGUGGCAUUAUCUUUAUGGUGUGCAUUGUGAGAAAUUUACUAAUCAUCAUAGUCCCCAACAUCAUAUGACCCAGGGGGAGAAAAAUUUUAGACAACGUAGAUUGAUGGUGUUGCUCAAGGACUAUGAUAUUUUGAUCUUGUAUAAUUUGGGAAAGACAAAUAUAGUAGCGGAUGCCUUGAAUUAAAAUAUAGUGAUUAUGGGUAGCUUGUUUUAUAUUUCAGUUUUUUAAAGGCCAUUGUCACGGGACAUUCAGUCCUUAGCCAACUUGAUGGUCCACCUUGAUAUUUCAGGUCCUAGGAGGAUUUUGGCUCUUAUGGAGAUGAGGUCCUCACUAUUUGAGAAAAUUUGUUAUUGGCGAUUUGAGAAUAACAAGUUUCGCUUACUUCGAGAUCGGUUGUUGAGUAGUGAUUCUGAGAGGGUUACCAUUGACUCGGAGGGUCUUUUGAGGUUUGAAGGCUAAAUUUGUGUUCAACAAAUUGAUGAAUAGAUUUAAUUGAUUUUGAUGGAGGCUCACAGUACUAGAUAUUCUAUUCACCACGGGAUAGGCAAGAUGUAUACGUAUUGAGGCAACAUUAUUGAUGGAGUAGUAUGAAGAGAGAUGUGGAAGAUUUUAUAGCUCAUUGCCUAUGUUGUCAACAUAUAAAGGUCGAGCAUUAACAUCUAGUGGUUUGACUAAAAGGUUUCCCCAUCCCGAGUUGAAAUGGGAACAUAUUACCAUGGAUUUAGUUAGUGGAUUACUUCACACUUCCUGUGGUUCCGAUGGUAUUGGGGUCUUUGUCAAUCAUUUGACCAAGUUAGCAUAUUUAAUUCCUUUCAGAUGUCCUUUGGUGCUGUGAGGUUGGCCCAUAUCUAUGUUCGAGAGAUAGUUAUUUGUAUGGUGUUCCUAUUCCUAUUAUUUUUUACCAUCAUUCUGUGUUCACUUUGAGAUUUUGGAGAGCUUUUCAGGAGGAUUUGGGUACUUGGUUGGAUCUUAGUACAACCUUUUAUCCAUAGACCUACGCCCUAUCUAAAAGGACUAUUUAUGAUCUUAUGGAUAUGCUUUGAGCUCGUGUUAUGGAUUGUUAUGGCUAGUGGGAAAAUACUUAGCCUUGGUAGAGUUUGUAUACAAUAACAACUACCAUUAGAGUAUUGAUAUGGUGCCUUUUGAGGCUUCAUAUGGUAGGAGAUGUCAUUCUUCAGAGGGAUGGUUUCAGACUUCUGAGGUUAGAACCCAUGGUACAGAUUUUCUUUAGGAGUCAUUUGAUAGAGUCAGGGUGAUUCAGGAAGAUUGAGAGUGACUAAGAGUAGGCAAAAGGCCUAUACAGAUAGUAGGAUUUAUGACUUGAGAUUUGGAGUUGGUGACCAUGUAUUCCUUCGUGUAUCACCAAUGAAAGAGUGCGCUGAGGUUUGGGAGGAAGGGAGAGCUUAGUUCUAGAUAUAUUAGACCUUUUGAAAUUCUCAACCAUAGUUUGUGAGGUAGCUUAUGAGUUAUCUGUACUUCAAGAUUUUAUUGCUAUUCAUCCAUUUUCCAUGUCUCUAUGUUGUGCUGAUAUAUUCCAGUUCUAUCUCAUGUGCUUAAAUGGAACUCUAUCCAGUUCAAUAAGCGUUGACCUUUAUAUAGUAGUCGGUGCUUAUUUUGGCUAGAGAUAUAAAGAAAUUAUGUACUAGAGAUUCCUGUUGUCAAAGUUCAAUGGAGGCAUUGCCCAAUAGAGGAGGCCACUUAGAAGAUCGAGGGUAAGAUACGAGCCCAGUAUCCUCACCUAUUUGAGACUUCAAGUACAUCUUAAUCAUUAACAUUAGCAAAUAAAAAUUUAUGUCUUGCUAGGACGGAUAGUUUGGUUAUGGGGUAGUUUGCUUGAUUUUUAAGCCAGUUCCAUAUUUUGAAGCCUUUACUGGUUCCAAAGGGCUACUGGGAAUAAACUUUAGUAAAAUGACCUCAAAGUAAAUUCUAAUUGCACCAACAACUUGAGAAUGUCGAAUUUAGGCUAGGUGAACCUUUGGUUUGGGUCUUGAUGCACCCGAGCUUAUUUAGGCCUACUGGUCAAAUGUUGGAGAAAGUGGAAAUUAGUUAUGGGGCCCAUAUUUGGUCAAAAUGUCCUCGAAUGGAAAAUCCGAUACUACCAUAGAAUCACAUUUGGGUAGACGGGGUUCCGAAUAAAUCCUGAGGCCUUGGAGAAAACUUGGAAAAAUUUUAAGUCUUCAAUUUUCCAUCUAGUGCCAUGGUUGUAGCCAUCUUUAGGUCGUGAUCAUGACUGUUCAUGUAGCCACAAGGUGUGGAAAUCGUAGACCUGUACAGUCGUGAUAGCGAUAUCUGAUUACCUGGAUGGAGUAUAAAUAAACCUCUUAUGUUAUGAAUUAGCUAAUUUUUCAUCCAUACCUUGAAGGCAAAAACCCUAAGGAGUCAGAUAUCUCAAAAUUAAGACUUGUUGGUGACUUGGGAGCUUGAUUAACAUCGAUUUUUGUGAUUAUCCUCUGAAUUGAGGUAAGAUUUCAACCUUUCCUUAGUGGAUUUUACUGAAUUAUUUACAAAAAACCCCAAAUAGAUUGCGGUCUUGAUUAUAGGCCCAAUUUAUUUUAGUUUCACCCAUUCUCGAGGGUUAUGAUUCCUUGAUCAAGUAUGAAUGUUGGGUUGGUCUCAGAAACGUGAUUUCCAUAAGAAGGACCCACAUGUUGUUUUUGAUGUCAUUUUUGGAUUCGAAGAAUAAUGGUGCAAUAUGGGUAUCAUUAUUCUCGUAUUGACGUGUAAAAAGUUAUUUUGAUAGCUUGGCAUCUUGAAGAGGCUUCUCGAAAGGGAAAAGCAAAGGUUUACUGGUUCGUUGAGCUUUCUUUGACAUUGAGGUAGGCUAGGUUUAUCCCUUGUUAGAUUGUGCGAUGCCAUAGUAUAUAUAAGGUAUCCUAUUUGAUUGGGAUGGAUUUUAGGUGUUGGAUUGACGAAAUGCAAGACUUGGGACUAGUUGUAUCAUUUAGUCAUUUUAGUCCGUAGAGUUUGAAUACUUAGAUUAUCGCCUUGAGAUUUAGUGAAUUAGACUUCAUUACAUAUGUUGAUUAUGAGAACACCCUAAAUUACUCAAAUUAGGUAAAAAUGCUUUAAACCCUUAUGCUUAGUGUAAGUUACCCUUAGUUGCGCACACUAAUGGAGGUUUCCCUAGUUUUGUUUGACUUAGUUAUAGUGUUUGAAUGAAAUCUAUAUCUUAGGACUAAUUGUGGCUUGCAAUACAUCAAAGAGUUGAUUCAAAUACCUUAACCUAGUCUGGGGUACAAAUUUGAUAUGGAAUGUAUUUCAGGGAUCUAUAAGUAGGAUCUUGACCCACCAUAAGUCAAGAUUUAUAUAGUUCUUUUAAAAUCCUUAUAUGCUUAUUAAAUGCCUAGUGAAUACCCUUUGAGGCAAUAUAGAGGAACUAUGGUAAUGAAUUAUGGUGAUGAUAUUUGAGGUAAUGUUCAUGGUCUAAUUGACGAGAUUACUAAAUAUACUAUGAUAAGCUAUUGAUUAUACCAUUAAAUAUGCCCAUGACUAUGUGGUGAUUAAGCCAUUGAUUAGGCUAUCAUUCAAGACUUUGACUAAGCUAUUGCUCAUGCUUAGUAACCAUCUUAGAAAUAUUUCUUAUUAAUGAUAUUGCACAUUAUGAGGUUGACAAUGCUAGAAGGUAUUCUUAAUGAUUAUAUGGGAAGUUAUGUUACUAAUUAUGUUUGAAAUCGUGAUACUUCAUUAUAUAAUUUCUUAUGUUGCUGAUUUUUUCAUCGAUUAUGAUUAUGUGUAUAUAUAUAUAUAUAUAUAUAUAUAUAUAAACCCCUAAGGUUGGCGGAUAUUAUGAUGAUAUGAUGAUACCCGACAAAGUCAAAGGAUAUUGUGAUGUUAUUGAUAACUAGCAAGGCUUGAGGAUAAUUAUGAUGAUAUAUAUCCAACAAGGUUGGAGGAUAAUUAUGAUGAUGCCUUGAUACUUGACAAGUCUAGAGGAUGAUUAUAUUGAUGUGCCUAUGUGUACAUCUACCGGUUUGAGUUUGACUAGACAUAUGUAUGUCAAUUAUAUGCUUAUAUUUACUUUUGUGCAAUGUGGGUAUGGUAAAUUAUGGAAUAAUUGUAGAAUGACAUUGAAAGUUAGUUAUAAUGUCUGUUAAUUUAUUUAUUAUUCUCUUAGGUGUACUCUACUGUCGUAUGGGAGACUGUGUUGAGUUCUUUACUUUUCUGCACUAGUUGGUAUAUGGGAGACAACUUUGUAGUUAUGUUUGCUUGUGUUGAUGCUUUAUGAUGCAUUAUUAUUAUUCCAAAUUGUUUAUUAAUUAUGCAUAACUUUAUGGGAAUCUAUUGAUUCCUUAUGCUAUACUGUUAUUCUAUUUUAAUUACUUAUUAUGUAUAAUGGUAUUGGAGGUGAUUCAGGUUCCUCUCUGUACCUUGAUUUAGUUUAUAUUAUCUCACAUUUUAUCACUCUCUUAUCAUGAUUUAAUUUAGUUGGUUGAUGCCUACUAAGUACAUAUUGUUUUGGUACUCAUACUACACUUCUAUACAUUUUUGGUGCAAAUCCAAGAACUAGUUGCCGUUGUUGAUCCGAGUUCAUGUGGUGUUGAUAAUCCAGAGAUAGGGUGAUCUCUUGGAGUCUGAGUCAACCAUUUCCUUCUAUCUUUAUAUUUAGUAUUUUGUUUUGAGAUAGAUGUAUUGACUAUUUUUAUAAAUUUGGGUUGUAUUAUUUACCUUAGAUUCUCUUGAAUAGACUCUAUCAUGUUUUGGGAUUGGUAUCAUAUUUUACUAUGUUAUCUAUUAAUGAGUAGUAUAUUAUUUAUGUGUGUUGUUCAUUUCCACAUAAGUUGGGCAAUUUCCUACUAAAUUAACACAUUGUGUUAUCUCCAGGUAAUAGUUCGGCUUACCUACUAGUGGGUUUUAGUAGGUGCCAUCAUGACUCGUAAUUUGAGUUAUGACAAAUUAGUAUUAGAGCCUAGGUUUCACCGAUAUUGAUGGUAUAAGAGAAAGUAUCAUGAAGAGUCUUGCGGAUCAGAAUGAUGACGUCCGUUUCCUAUCUUCGGGAGGCUAUGGGACAUUUUUAGGAGUUCAUCACUUCUUUUAUUCAUAUCUUGCUAAGAGUCUGAGUUGGUUUGUAGACUAUUCCUUGACUUUAUGCUUUUACAUAUGGCCAGGACAUGUGUAAUUUCUACAUGAGAUGAGGGUCCUGAGACCAAGCCUGGGGAUCUUAUUCCUAUUCAUCAACAACCUAGAGGUUUAGGACAACUGCAUGAUAUAUCCCUAGCUAGGGGAUCGAAUAGGCUUUCUUCCCUAGAUCCUAUUUUUGUACCUGAGCCAGAGAUAUUCUUGCCAUAACCAACGGUGGUCCAGGGACCAAUCCAUGCUCCACUAGGGUUUAUUUGUUCUUUGGUGCUCAAAGAUGCAUUGGUUCAACUUUUGGGUUGAGUUGAUGGUAAGUCGUCUUAUGGUGCACAAUCUAUGAAUUAAAGUGGCACUGAGGCAGGGCGUAACCUGUAGCUGCGACUCACAGAGUUGAGGUUCCUUAUGCACCGGCGGUUGCUUAGGCGGUUGUUUCUUAACCAGUGGUUGCCUAGCCUUCUAUGUUGAGGAGUAGAAGAUGUUUUAUAGAUUCUAGAGGUUGGCUUCACCUAGGUUUUUGGGUACACCGAGUGAGGAUGAACAUAAGUUUCUAAUUGCUUGUGAGGAUAGAAUUUGUGGCUUAGGUCUUGUUGAGACUUAUGGUGUGGAUUACCCUACAUUUCAGUUGGACUUUUCUGCUCUUCAUUGGUGGAGAGGUACAUGGAUUUUAGGCCAUCUGGAUAUUCUCCCUUGUUAUGGACUUAGUUUUUUAAGAUGUUCUUGGAGAGUAUAUUCCUCAAAACCUUAGAGAUCGAUCAUUUGAGAGAUUAGUUAUCUAGAUUGGAGCAAGGCUCUAUAAUAGUUGCAGAAUAUGAGGCUCAUUUUCACGAGUUAGCUAGGCAUGCGACUUCUAUUCUUGAUACUGAGUAUGAGAGAGUUUGCUGCUUUGUUAGAUGGUUGAGACUUCCCAUUCAUAUGGCUACUUAGAGUUUAGUUGCAGUAGUUAGCUCUUUUGCUGAGGUUUCAGAUUAUGCCUAUGUGAUGGAGAAAAUGCACCAUGAAAGGUGAGGGCAUUGAUAAGUGGACUAGGUUUUAUGAUAGCUUCAAUGGGAUCUAUAGUAGUUCCUUAUUCAGAAGAGGUAGUUCUCAUGUUGAGUAUUCUUUGCUUCCAUCUUAUUAGACUCAGAGUCAACUUAGUUGACCUGUUCAGGCAUCUCUUUAGAUUACUGAUGGAGGUCAAUUUAGUGAUAGAGACCUCCCUGGUCAGGGUGGCGGUAAGUCUUCGAGGGGUUCACUUUUGGUCAUUCUAGGUGUGAUGGUUAUUUCGAGUCAGUUGGAUCUGUUUGUGCUAGUUCAGCUCAUGUUUCCUAUUUUACUUGUGGACCUCUUAGUCCUUAUUUGUGGGAUUGCUCUAUCUUUGGGGAGAUUCUUGCUUAAUCUCAGAGUUUCCCCCUAUUUGAGAAGUUUGUCCUUAGUUAGAGGUAGCUUUUAUGGUCUAGGGGUGGUUCCCAGGGUAUGCGAGAAGGUUCUCAGGAAGGAGGGACAAGAGGUUAAUGUACUAUGUAUCAUGGCACUUUGUUUGCUUAAAACAUUGAAAAUAUGAAUUUACUUAGGUAUUUUCAUCAAAUAUGAUGUGUGUUUUGUGUAUGUUGAAGGUAAAUUAGGUGGGAAGUGGAGAUAGAAUGAUAAAGGAUGAAAUUCUCUAUAUAGUUGAAGUACUGACUAGGCUAAAGCUAAGUUUUAGAAGUGAAGUGAGACUGGUCAUGACGCAUUAUGUGCGACUACAAGUGGUGGUGAAGAGUCAUUCUGUGCACAGUGACUAGCGUCUUGAAUAUUGACAAAACAUGCUCCUAUGGUAACAAAUGAAGACCACGAGUCAUAAUGACUAACUAUGAAUCAUGGUGAGGACUUAUUCUAAAAAUAGACUGAAAAAGUUCUGAAAGUGAAAAACUACAGGAGUGAAGAUGACUUGCAGCAUACGACUCAUUGCAUCACCUAAUGAGACGUGACCAUUGAAAACAUAGAAGGGCUACAACAGUAGGCAACAAGUCAUUUCUAGUCCUAAAGACUCGUUUCCAGAGGAGUGACCACUGCCGACCUAGUUUUCUUAUUUUGUUUUAAUUAUGUUUACUUUAUUGUUUUGGGAUACUAUAAAUUCCCUUGGGUUAUUCUUGUAUUAUGUUACACACUUUGAGAUAUUUUCAAGCACUUUGACAUCUUUGAUAUUCUUGUUCUAUGUUUUUAGUUUCGUAAUUAAUCUAAGAUUUUAGAUUUUAUUCUUUCAGCAUUGUGAAAUUAAUUCUAUACUUUCUUUAUUCCAUGGAUUAUUGCAUAAUCAUGAAUGGCUAAUUUCUUUAGCUAGGGUUGUGGGAACCUGGUAGAUUAACGAAGUAGGGGAAGUGCGAGGAUUGAUUAGAUCAUUGUUGCCACAUGUAUUGUGAUCUUCUUUGUUUUGAUUUCUUCGUUAGCUACUGCAGAAGCUAUGGAAUUGCCUAUAUUUGAGAUCAUCCUCACAAGGGAGUUUAAGAUUGUAAAAAAAAGAGCACAACAGUGGUUCGAGGCUAUCAACCCUCUUCUAAUAGCUUGAUACUCACCAGGUGAAAGGUAAACAGGGGUUUAAGAUAAGGGUUAGUUAGAUGACACCCUUAGACUCUCAAGGUGUAGGGUGAGAUUUACCAUUGAGUCCAUAAGACGGUGAUACAAAUCUUGUUAGGUUAUACAUGCAUAGAAUGUAGAUAGUCGGUCUAAGUACAAGUAACUUAAUGGCCUUAUUAAAAACAAGCAUAAAAUAUCGCUCCCUGUCUCUACAUGUAAGGUAACAACUCAUAGUGACUUGAUAUAAGCCAUCCCCUAGACUCGUACCUUGAGUAGAAC
This 80535-nucleotide long non-coding RNA is filed under the name Capsicum annuum. Its description in RNAcentral is "long non-coding RNA (CANN_LNC020656)". The record is from RNAcentral. Lineage: Eukaryota; Viridiplantae; Streptophyta; Magnoliopsida; Solanales; Solanaceae.